RNAcentral lists this long non-coding RNA (70769 nucleotides) under Triticum aestivum (bread wheat). Its description in RNAcentral is "long non-coding RNA (TAES_LNC026415)". Lineage: Eukaryota; Viridiplantae; Streptophyta; Magnoliopsida; Poales; Poaceae. The record is from RNAcentral.
GUCCAGGGACUCCGUUGAGCAUGCAUGACGACGAUGCCGUAGAUAGCAGCAGUGCGAUCCAGUCACGCCAUCUUGGUGGGAAGCCCAUCCGCUCCAUCAGCUCGAACAUGUACUCCCAAGAGAUUGAAUUGAAGGCCUUUGCUAUGUCCAGUUUGAAAAACAGAGCCUUCUUGUUCAUGCGGUGCAGCAUCCUUACUGAACUUUGAACGUAUUGGAAGCUGUCAUGGAUGCACUUUCCUUUUUGAGGUGCUGUCUGUGCCGGGGAGAUGAUUGCACUGAGGGCCCUGGACAGCCUAGUCGAGAGCACCUUUGAGAUUAGUAUUGCGAUUGAGUGUAUGAGGCUGAUCGGCCGGAAAUGUCCCACUUCAGAAGCACCGUUUUUCUUGGACAGGAGCACAAUGAGGGCAGUGUUGAGGCUUGCAAGGUUUUGCCCUGAGAGGUGAUAGAAUUUUUUAAAAACAGCCAUGAUGUCCUCUUUGAUUAUGUGCCAACAAGAUCUGAAAAAAUGGCCAUUGAAACCGUCCGGACCCGGGGCUUUAUCCGCUGGGGAGUCGACUAUCGCUGCCCAAACUUCUGCGUGCGAGAAGGGAGCGUCCAAACCCUGCGGCUCGAUCCUUGGGACGUUUAUCCUGUCCCAGUUUAGGGUUGCUUGGCGUGAUUCCUGUUUGCCCAGACUGCUUUGGAAGUGAUCAUGAAUCAUUUUUUCUUUUUCCUCAUGUUCGUAAGCCACUGUGUUGCCGCUUGCAAGAGAAUGAAUGUAGUUUUUUUCUGCUUCUUGCUCUCAUUUUAGCGUGGAAAAACUUAGUGCUCGCAUCACCAACCCGCAGCCAUGUGAUCCUUGAAGCUUGCCUCCUCCGUGCUCUCUCAAUGGCUGCCAACCCUAGGACCUUGAGCUUCAGCUGCUUUCUGAGGUUGAUCUCGACUGCCGACAGUCUUCUGCUCUCCUGGGCUAGAUCAAGAAAACGGAUGACUUCAUUUGCUAUGUGAAACUGCAUGGUUGCCCUCCCAAAAGUGGUUUUGCUCCAUAUCUUCAGGUCCGCUGCCGUCCUCUCAAGCUUCUUCUUCACCCUGACAAAAGGGCAGUCAUGGUGCACUGGCUGUUGCCACGCUCGCAGAACAAUUUCUGUGAAGCGGGGGAAGCGCGGCCAGAAACUCUCAAACCUGAAACGUGCCUGUCUGCAUGGCUUGCUUGUGGCUGUCAGGUACAGCGGGCAAUGAUCCGAAAAAGAUGUAGAGGCAGGCACUAGGAUGUGAUCAGGGUGCAGUACUUCCCAGUGCUCGUUGCAGAACACUUUGUCGAUGCUGCAAAGCGUUGGCACUUCUCUUUCGUUGCUCCAAGUGAAACGUCGGUUUUUGCAUUUUAUCUCCCUCAGUCCAGCUUGAUCAAUGGCCCUCCUGAACUUUCAAUCAUUCUUCUAUUUAUAUUGGCAUUGUUCUUGUCAGCAGCUUGGUAGAUCAUGUUAAAAUCGCCAUUGAUCAUCCAUGGCUCUGCCGUAGAUGGAGCUGUCGCAGCGAUUUCAGCCAGGAAGCUAUCUUUCUGGGCGUCAUCUGUUGGCCCGUACACCGUGGUGAUCCAGAAGUGCAGCCCAGAGUGGAGCUCAAGAACCCUAGCCGUAAUGGAGAACCUUCCUAUGCUAUGAGAAACUACGUCGACUACCGUUUUGUCCUAGAAAAUGGCCACACCCCCUCUAGUACCUACAGCUGGGAGGACGACGCAACCUUGCAGCGAGGAGCCACCGAUCUCCCUGGCCAUCGCCGUCGACCACACCUCUAUCUUGGUCUCCUGCAAACACAACAUUGCUAAUCUAUGCGCGGUGGCCACGCUGUUGAUCGCAGUACACUUCGCAGGGCAGUUUAGUCCCCUAACAUUCCAUGACAUGAAGUUCAUGGUAUUGUCAUUCAUCUAAAAACCAGUUGUUGCUCCGCCAGCUGAAAAAACUACUAAUGCAAGGACGAAACACCAUCACAUACAGCCUGGGGCGGCGACGACCACCCGUAGGCCCAAAACCCCGUCGCCACGUAGCUAACCACAUCAUCGAGGAACUAAACAUUGGCACUAAACCUAGCUCAAGCCGGUUGAAGACCAGCCGCUGGCGGAUCCUAGCUACAUCUGAUAAUGCUAACAUUACUACACUUGCAGAAUCUCCUCAGCAUCUGCCAGACCUGCCAUGCCCGCCGCGAUCUUGAGAGCGCCUUGAUCGAGGCCGGUGAGCUUUGCAAUGGCAGCGAUGUUGCCCUCCAACAGUGGCUCUUGGAAGCGCUUCGUGAUCUGGGCGGCCGCUUUUGGUGUCAUCUUGUCCUUUGGGCCGAGCUCGCCAAGCUCCUGGAUGAGGCGCAGCACCGCCCUCUGGGCCACUAGGGUGGUGAUGCCUGCCGCAGCCUGACGUGCGCUCCGGCGAGAGGGGGCCGAGAGAGCCCUGGACUUUGGCGGAGCAGGGUGGCGAGGGCGUGGAGGCUGGCGCGGAAGAAUGGGUGCGGGCACCGCCUCGAACAGCUGAGCCGCCUGCUCAUUGCGGCUGUCGAUCACCAUCUCGCCCACCUGCUGGGUCACCGCAUCCAGCUGGAAGCCCACCGUGGCUGCUGCAGGGGAGCUGACGCAGGGCAGCAAGCACGGCAGCAUCGCUGGGCUCUCGAGCUCCCCUGGCUUGACACUCAGGCGGGAUGGAGGGGAGUGACCACCGUCUUCGAAAGCAAGCGGGGUGCGCAGGGCUUCGAUCAUCGUGUUCUCCAUCUCCAACUGCAUGCAGUCCGUGCGCGGGGGCGGCGAGAGGGCGCGCCCCGAGUCGGAGAAGGAGAAGAAUUAAGCGACCAGGUCCGCUUCAGCCGGCGCGGCCUGCACCGAUCGAAGCGGCUUGGGCGGCAUGGCACGCAGAGUGUUGGUGUUGGAGCUCGAACCCUCCUCCUUGCGGCCCACGGAGCGGCGGCUUCCGAUUGGGGUGCGGCUGCGCUGGCGAUGCACGUUGUUGACGACGCCAUCGCCGCCGCUCCUGGCGUGGCAGCCAUGCCCGAGCAGCCGAUCCCUCCAGGACCGACUCGAACCUCCGCUCCCACCAUCACCAUUGCGGUCUCGAUCGGAGCCGCCCAGGAUCGGGCCGCAGCCAGCCGGGCCGGCACGCGGCGCGAAGCUGCGCGCCCGGCCCUGGCCAUCCUCCACAUGGGCGACCCAGGUGCCGGCUCAACACGGGGGAGUGGGCGGUCGUCGCUGUCAUCCGAAGAAGGCAGGCCACUCUGCCCCGAGUGGGAGGAGCGCGGUGAAAGGGGCGACCAGUCCUCGAGCAGGUCGACGUGGAUCAGCAUGUCGUAGCGGCGUGCUCCAGGCGGAGGAGGAACACGGCGGUCGUCGGGGGCGAUGCCGAUGAUCUCAUCUGAGCGGCCGGCGCCGCGCUUGAGCACCCAGAGGGCGCGCUUGGUUGGGAUGUGGGCAACAUCCCAGACCCAGAGCCAGCACGCAAAGGUUUUGGUGUGCCCCCUCUCGAGAGUGCGCGAGUCCAGCCGGUCGACGCGGCCGAUGUCGCCGAGGGCCUCCUCGGCACCCGGCAGGUUCCAGAAUUGCAUCGGUGGGUCUUCUAUCACCACGCGCACGUGAUGGUUGAACUUGAGGAUUGCGACGUGGUCGUCUUCAUUCCACGCUCUAAUGAAGUACUUGCAGCCGUCGACCUUGAUGACGGCGCGCCGCACGGCAUUGUCCCGGUGCGCGGGGAGGUCGAAGUGGACGAGGAAGGCUUCGAGCUGGUGCGCCGUGACGCGCAGCUGAUGCGGGCCGGUGGAGAGCUGCUCGAAGAUCACCCUACCGACGGCCGCUGGGGUGGUGGAGUGCGAGCGGUCGGCAGCGGUGAGGGUGACGACGUGCUGGCGCAGAACGUGCUCCUCGAGCUCCAGCGCCGGUGUGGCCACGAUCACCCGGUGGCUCUCACGCGGCCGCCUGGCCGGAUCGCACAUGAGCAGGCGGUUCAUGUCGGGGUGGGAGGGUGCUGCCGGAAAGACGAGGCGGUCUUGGACCGGGGCGCGCGCGGCAGCUGGCAGCUUCAGGCGAUCUCGAGCAGGACCCCCGGGCCCUCCAUUCCGAGGGUUCUACGGGCACUCCUUGCCGUAAUGCCCAACGCGCUUGUAGAUGAUGUAGCGGAGGGGAUCACGACAAUCUACCCGGCGGUGGAGCUCACUGAGGCAGCGGAAGCAUUUGCCUUUGAAACGGCUUAAGAAGGCCUCCCUGCCUUCGCCCGUAUUGGAUGAGCCGCGGCGGUCCGAGCGCUGCCGCAGAGGGUGCUUCCUUUGAUCCGACGAGCGUGAGCGGGGCCUCCCUUUCUUCCGGGAGCGGACCUCCGUCCAUCCAUCGCCCGUCGCGCCUGCCUGUNNNNNNNNNNNNNNNNNNNNNNNNNNNNNNNNNNNNNNNNNNNNNNNNNNNNNNNNNNNNNNNNNNNNNNNNNNNNNNNNNNNNNNNNNNNNNNNNNNNNNNNNNNNNNNNNNNNNNNNNNNNNNNNNNNNNNNNNNNNNNNNNNNNNNNNNNNNNNNNNNNNNNNNNNNNNNNNNNNNNNNNNNNNNNNNNNNNNNNNNNNNNNNNNNNNNNNNNNNNNNNNNNNNNNNNNNNNNNNNNNNNNNNNNNNNNNNNNNNNNNNNNNNNNNNNNNNNNNNNNNNNNNNNNNNNNNNNNNNNNNNNNNNNNNNNNNNNNNNNNNNNNNNNNNNNNNNNNNNNNNNNNNNNNNNNNNNNNNNNCAGUGACACACCUGCCCUGGGGCGGCCGUCCCGGUGCAGGAUUCGCGGCGUCGAGGCCGAAUCUGACGCAGCAGUCGUCGAGGCCGCGGACCACGGGGAGGGGGGGGGUCGAGGGUCCGACGGUCCGAGGCGCGCCCCCACUGGGCUGCGGGGAGCACCGGCCAAGGCGAGCAGGGUUUCCGGCGGAGGAGCUGGCGGCCAUAAUGGCCGGAUCUGGUGGCCGCCGCGGCCAGAGCGGCGCGCGGCGUAGGGGAGAGGAGGGGAGAGUGUGGGAAGAUGGAGCGGCAGUUUCCCUACGCCAGAACUUAAGGACACCCGUUAUCAUGUAAACCACUUAGUAACUCUAUCAGUUUUCAUAUCUGUGGCCUCUGACAUAUGAAAUAUAGAGGCUGCGAAGACAAAAGGAAAACUCACAUUACAUGUGUGUUCCACCUGCCAUUGACUACAACGGUUCUUUUUGUCAACAAACUAAUUCAGAACAUGUUUAAUUCAGACUUCAGUUUGAACACAAACAGAAGGAUUUUUCACUGCAGACCAUUUGUAUCAAAUUGUGAAUAGAAACACAUCGUUGUAGGUCCGUCCUUUUGAAAGCAAAGCGCAACCAAACAAUUGUCAUUUCUUAUCUGACUUUUCACCUCCCAAUACACCCAUAAUACCACCCCAUGCCAAAUUUCACUCUUUUGGAACAAAUUUAGGUUUGAUUCAUCUUUUAUGAAAAAUGUAAAAAUGCAAUUGGUGCCUAAAUACAAGAAAUUAGAUAUAAGAAUUGAUUAAAAAAUUUAAAAGCUUCUCUAGUACUAGGUUGCUUUAAUCGUGACAACAAAUAUAGACAACCUUUCUAUACCGUCAAGCAUGUCGUCUCACCGUGCUCUGAUCAUGUGGCGCUGGCCCUCCAGGGCGCCCCAGACGUGGGUCAGCGAGGACCAAAAAUAAGACAGUACGAGGUGUUUUGGGAACGGGAUGUGGAACUGCCAGAAGUGAUUAAGGAAGCUUGGAAUUCGGUUGGAAGUGUAGAUAAUCUGGACAAGCUACAAACUGCCUUAAGGAAGACUCUGGCAACUCUCAACUCUUGGGGCAAUAAGAAAUUUGGAAACAUAUCUAGGGAGUUGGCCAAGUCACGUACUCAAUUGGAGGAGCUUAUGAGCAUGAACGCUGACAGACAAGAUAUAAGGAACGUUACUGAUAAGAUGAAUGAAUUGAUAUAUCAGGAGGAGAUGAUGUGGUUGCAAUGAUCCAUAAUCACAUGGCUAAAGGAAGGGGAUCGUACCACCAAAUACUUUCAAAGUAAAGCUGUUUGGCGAGCACGUAAAAAUAAAAUACGUGCGCUAACUGAUAUUAUUGGAGUGGUUCACUCAAAUUUUGAGGAGAUGGCCGCCUUGGCGAAUGAUUAUUUUCAGGAAAUUUUUUCAGCUGAUCUGUCGCUGGAUGCUUCAUGGGUGAUUGAUCUCUUAGAACCAAAGGUGUCAGCCCAGGACAAUGUGCGCCUUUGUGCCCCUUUUGAUGAUAAGGAAAUAUCUGAUGCUUUUUUUCAGAUUGGGCCAUUAAAGGCCCCAGGGCCUGACGGUCUACCGGCGAGGUUUUUUCAGCGUAACUGGGAUGUGUUAAAAACCAGUGUCAUAGCAGCGGUGAAGGAAUUUUUUGUCACCGGAAUUAUGCCGGAAGGAGUAAAUUCUACUUCUAUUGUUCUUAUUCCAAAAAUUCCUAACCCUACUAGUUUGUCUCAUUACAGACCUAUCAGCCUAUGUAAUGUUAUAUACAAGGUCAUAUCCAAGUGCUUGGUGAACCGUAUGAGGCCUUUACUUGACGAUAUCAUCUCUCCGGAGCAAAGUGCCUUCAUUCCAGGGCGUAUGAUUACAGACAAUGCUCUUGUGGCCUUCGAGUGUAUUCACCAUAUUAAGCAAGAUAAGGAUCCAACAAAAAGUUUCUGUGCCUACAAGUUGGACCUCUCAAAAGCUUACGAUAGGGUGGAUUGGAAGUUCUUGAAGCAAGUGAUGCAAAAGCUGGGUUUCUCUCAACGAUGGGUGGACUGGAUAAUGUCUUGUGUCACAUCGGUGAAUUAUUCUUUCAAACUUAAUGGGACCCUCUUAGAUUCAUUUGCACUAUCGUGUGGUCUUCGGCAAGGCGAUCCUCUAUCCCCCUUCUUGUUCCUUUUCAUGGCAGAUGGUCUGUCCGCUAUUCUGAAGCAUUAUGUGUCUUCUGGUGAUAUAUCUCCGAUCAAGGUGUGUAGAAGAGCACCGGGUAUCUCACAUCUUUUAUUUGCCGAUGACACCAUGCUUUUCUUUUAGGCAAGCAGAGCCCAGGCUGAGAAAGUUAAAUUGGCUUUGGAUCAAUACGGGGUAACAACGGGACAAUCUCUUAAUUUUGAUAAGUGUUCCAUCCUCUUUGGUAUUGCAUGCCCCGAAGAUAUUCAGGAGGAAGUCAGGGGGGUGUUGCAUGUUACUAGCUUAGUGUUUGAGGAGAAGUACCUUGGCCUUCCAACUCCAGAGGGUCGCAUGUCGAAAGGGAGAUUCCAAAACCUUCAGAUGAGUUUAACCAAGCGUUUGGUCCAAUGGGGAGACGGUCACCUUGCCCAACCGGUGAGGGAGACUCUUAUUAAAUAUGUUGCGCUUGCUCUUCCUACAUAUAUGAUGGGUGUUUUCAAGAUUCCAUUCUCAGUGUGUGAUGAAUUAACACGGAUGGUACGUGCCUUUUAUUCGGGUGCUGAAAAAGGCAAGAGGAAAGUACACUGGCGUGCAUGGGAGGAUUUACAACAACCAAAGAGUAAAGGAGGUGCCGGGUUUAGAGAUUACAGAAUAUUUAAUCAAGCCUUAUUAGCACGACAAGCUUGGAGAUUGAUUUCAAAACCUGAUAGCCUGUGUGCACAAGUGCUCAAAGCCAGGUACUAUCCGGAUGGAAACAUAGAUGAUACUGUCUUCUCCGGCAAUGCAUCUUCUUCAUGGCAAGCAAUCAGCUAUGGCCUUGAUCUGUUAAAAAAGAGCUUAAUCUGGAGAGUGGGGAACGGCAGAAGUAUUCGUGUGUGGCGCGAUAAUUGGAUCCCAAGACCCUUCUCCUAUAAACCCAUCACCUUACAAGGAAGAUGCAGAAUCCGCUUCGUGUCUAAUCUACUUAAUGAUAAUGGCUCAUGGAAUGUUGGGCUGUUGCAGGAGUAUUUCCUCCCGGCUGAUGUAAAUGAGAUACUGAAAAUAAGGGCGUCUCCUAGGCAUGAGGACGACACCUUGGCUUGGGGGCCGGGCAAGUUUAGCGUUUUUUCGGUCAAGAGUGCAUACCAAUUGGGUUUUGAAGAGGCUCACAGGAGUUCGGCAACGGGCUCUAGCUCGCGACCUAACGGCCGGCGCUCUUGUUGGAAGCUCAUAUGGUCUUCGGAUGUUCCUCCUACGGUCCAGAAUUUUGCGUGGCGGGUUGCUACAAACUCGCUGCCGACAUGGUGCAACAAGUACAGGCGUGGACUUGAAACAAGUAACCUUUGUCCGGUAUGUGCUAGUGAACCAGAGGACUGCUACCAUGCUCUCUGUCGCUGCUCCUUUGCGAGGAUCUUAUGGGAUGCAAUGUCUGAAGUUUGGCCUCUCCCAUGUUUAUCUACCCUGCAAAAUAACGGGGAUGAGUGGCUGUUGCAUGCACUUGAACCGCUACAGGAGAUUGAGAGAUCUAUGUUAUUGCUAUCCAUGUGGAGGGUAUGGCAUAUACGCAAUGAGGUUGUACACCAUAAACCAGCCCCGCCUAUGGAAGCGUCGAAAAGAUUCUUGGUAAGCUAUUUGGACUCUCUGAUUGGUAUUAAAAUUGAUCUCUCUACUGAUCCACGCAAAGGCAAGUCUACCAUCACAUAUGAAAGACGGAGUCCGCAUAUGAUAAUGGAAAAAAGGUUACCAAGUGGUCAGCACCAAAGUCCGAUGGGUGAAGCUUAAUACUGAUGGGUCUUUUGCGGACGACGGAACAGCUGGCGCUGGAAUGGUCCUAUGCGAUGAUAAGGGAGCGAUAAUUUUUUCCUCUUGCAGGCAAUUGUUCUCUUGCCGUGAGGCACUGGAAGCUAAGUUAUGUGCCUGUAUGGAAGGUUUGUCCUUUGCCAUCCAGAGAAGUGAGAUACCGGUGAUCGUGGAAAUGGACUCACUUGUGGCAGUGAAGAUGAUCCAAGCUUCGGAGGUUGACCAAUCCAUUUACUCGUCCAUCAUAAAGGAGAUUAAAUAUCUUAUGUCUCUUCGUGAAGUUUGUAUUACUCAUGUAAAUCGUAGCCAGAAUAAGGUUAGUGAUAGCCUAGCUAAUUUUGCUCGUAUUGAGGGUAGAACCAUGACUUGGUUGGGCUCUGGACCUCACAUAUCCAUAGAGUUGGCUGCGAUGGACUGUACAAGCGUAGAGAUUGAGUAAUACAAGUUUUUUUCAUCCGCAAAAAAAAUAUAGACAAUGUUGGACUGCCAUUCUUAGAAGCUGCUUCAAAAGGUCCUAGUUAUGAACUGUUUGAAGAGUGCACCAAGAGAAAUCACGACACUAUGAGAUUAUUAUUCUUACCAUCAAGGAUAUAAUACAUGAUACACUAGUGCAGAAAAACCUACCUAGUUGUGACGUGUCAAAAAGCAUCAUGUUGGCGUGUCGACCCGACGCCCCUAAUAUGGUGCCACUGAUAAAAAUUGUUGGUGGCGUGUGGAUCUCCACGUCACCACUAACAUAUACUGGUGGCAUGGGUUCGACAUGCCACAACUGAAUUUUCACAGCACACCACCAAUAUAGAUUCUAGGCGGAAAAAAAAUUGAUGUUCCCUUCCGUCAACAACACAUAACGACAAUUUACGUAACAACAUAACUGAAUUAAGCAUAGUAGAUUAACAACUUAGAAUAGAUUCAACAAGUUAAAUAGGUAAUCAAUUGAGCACAUAAAAGUUUUGCAACUAAUUACAAAAUAUAAGUUCUCGAUCAACGACAACUCAACAUAAAACCGUCAGCUGGUCAAUCUCCUUCUUCAAUUGAUCCCUCUCAUCGAUCAGUUGAGCCGUCAAUUAGGUGAUCUCUCUCCAUCCUGCAGCUCAUCCCUCACCACCUUCAGCUUUGUGAUGAUAAUUUUUGAGAGGCCAGAAGCAACUUGUUGAGCAUGUCCACGUCAUAUUUUUUUCUUCAGCUUGCACAUACCCCCCACCCCCAGGGUCUGAAUCCUAUGUAGCCCAAAGAAUGUAAAGAUGUAAAGAUGAAAUGUUUGGAAUCAAAUUAUCAUAAAAAAUGAUUUAGUUGUACACCUAUGAAAAUAAUAAACAUAUAAAACAAGAACAAGAUUAUAAAAAGGGAAAUGAUGGCCAUCAUAACCUACAAAAGAAUGAGGUUACAUUAUAUACAAUGAGUGAGGCUUAACCUGCAAAAAUUGGCCUAACAAUCUACCAUGGAUUACUUCCAAUGUAUCAUCUUCAACAAUGUUCUCAUGGCAUCAUAAGACUACUAUUUAUAAAGAAGAAAUUGGCAUCAUUACUCCAUGGCAUUACAUGGUUGUUUGAGUUCAAAAGUUGUACAUGUUGUAUUUUUGUCUUCUUUUUUUCUUAUUGGCUCAACAUUACAACUAAAUUAAAAUCAAACCAAGCACUAAUCAGUACAAAUUGACAAACCAAGUGGAGAACUUGCUCGGUUGUUGCUUAUCUCUAGCUAUAUAUUCCCAUGCCAUCAAAUUAAAAGACUACUAUUAUGAAACUUACUCGGUUGCUACUCAUGUCGGUGUCGACGACCCUCAUUUUGGCGUCGUCGUUGCCGUUGCCGAAGCUGCCAAUUGGCACGGAUGAACUCAUGGUGGCGGCGGUCGCGGUGGUGGCGCCGACGUUCGUGCGCAGAGAGGAGGGUGACGAAGAAGAGGGGUGGAGAUGGAGGCGGCUGCAAUGGUGAGGAGGGAUGGGGCACACUAGUGCAGAAUCGGGCUUUAGCACCGGUUCGUAAGGGGGACUAAAGGCCCCUCCCCCUUUAGUACCGGUUCGGCACGAACCGGCGCUAAAGUGCCACCACGUGGCAUGAGACAGGCCCGGGUGCGGGUAAACCAUUAGUACCGGUUGGUAACACCAACCGGUACUAAAUGUUUCGGGGGGGGGGGGUUAUUUUUUAUUUUUCCUUUAAUUUUGUGUUUUCAAUUUAAUUUUAGUGAUUGUUUUACAUUAUAAUGAGUUGUUAAAUCAUUAGGUGAAAGUACCACAGAUUAGUUUCGACUGGAUGCAUGUGGAUCCUAGCUAAGUGAUCAAGUAUAUGCCAUAUCCAUAUUACUUGAUCACUUAAUUAGGUGGUCAAGGUAAUAUGGAUAUGGCAUAUACUUGAUCGCUUAGCUAGGAUCUAUCCAGUUGAAACUAAUCUGCGGUUUCUUUCAUAAAUGAUAUAAUAACUCAUCAUCAUCAUCAUCAUCAUAUUAAUAUAAAAACUCUUGCAUCAUAUAUAUCAUCACCAACAACAGUAUACUAGUUAGCUAAAAAUCAUCAUAGUCGUCAUUACCACUAUUUAAUCAUCAUAGUCAUUACCGCUAUCUAAUCACCACCAACACUAGCUUAAAGAAGAAACAUUCACUUGUACCAGAAGCAAAGAUAUCAUCGAGAUAAACAUGGUCAUGAUAUUAUAAGCGUUCAUAACGCCACAAAAGCAAAUCACUCUUUGAGAUUAAUUAAGUUCAGGACAAAGAACACAGACAUGAGAGGACAAGUACUAAUUAAGAGCAUGAAAUAGCUAAUAAUCAUUUCUGCUGCUCUCUCUCAGGUAAAAUAGCAUAGAACAUGUAUAGCUCUCCUGAUUCAUCAUAUUGGAGCAUGCACAUGAACCUGUCUCCUAAUCUUGGACUGCGCUUCUGUUUGCUGCCCCCUAGUACUUCUCUGCGAUCGUUAACAAUUUUACUCCAAUCUUUCACUAUUAAGAAUUCCUCGCUAUUAGAAAUCCUGAAUGCACUCAUGUGCAUUGUAGUAUAUCUUGGCAGUAAGCUAACCAUUGACAUGCGACCUUUAGUACCGAUCCACUGAGGCACAACUGUCAUCGGGAGUCCCCGUUUAAGAACAUUGUAUAGUAACAUUACUUAGUAAUGAAGUUUAACUUGAAAAAUAAUGUAUGCAAAAGAUGCACUAAGGACAAAUAGUAAAAAUCUUAUCAUCUUUCCUAAAUAGAUGUGAUUGUAGUUCAAUACGAUCACUAUUGGUCGCACAUUUUGAGUACUAAGAUUUUCAAAUUCAAGAAAAUAAUUUCUCUUGACAGCAUCAAGAUCCUCAAGCCAUGAAACAUAAUGACUUAUCUCCUCGCAGUUUAGUUCAACCCCGGGAUAUUGGACGGUCCUGUCUACCAAGCGCCAGACAUGUUUGCUUGAAUGGAAAUAAGUUGUCCAUAGAAAUUAGUUGUCAACUAUUUUUGAAUAAACAAUAUCGAAGACAUAUAUAUUCACUACAAGAAAAUUGAGAUACUGUGACGAAAAUCCUCGUGACAAUGGUGGACAACGUCACACAAAUACGUAAUGCGUGAUGUUUUCCUAGGUAGCGUCACUGAUUACUACAAAUCGGUGACAAUAGACGUCACUUAAUCGGUUCGGCCCAUGAGUGCACCUGGCUACCAAUUUCUAAGACAGUUUGGUAAUUUCGAUGACGAACCAACUGGAGUCAUCGAAUAUGAAUGUGUGAGGAUCACUUUUCUGUCAUGUAACGUCUAGCAAUGGGACCUGCCAUAGUGCUUGACGGGUUAACGAGUCGUAUGACCCGUGUAAUAGUGUUGACAGUAGGAUCCAUCAUAGUUUUUUCAUAGUAUACUUACCAAUAUAAUUACGUUGUUCUAUCUAAUAUAGACGGGUAAUGGCCAGGGGAAAACUAAUUUUGUUCCGUCUAACAUAAAUAGGUAGUGGUUGAGGGGAAAAAACCUAAGUCCUUCAUUCAUGAGCUCUUAUUUCGUUCUAUCAGAAAAAAAAUGGAAAUAUGAGUUGGCGGAAAAAAGUUUGGUACAGGGAGUUUGAACCUGGGAUCAUUAUGGUCUCAAAUAACGGCGUUGAAAAUAAGCUAGAGUUUAGAUGCUAUCGUAAAUUAUGCUAAAAUAUAUUUAUUAUGUUCUUUUUUGUACACAUAUUUAUUAUGUUCUUGGACGAUAUUCUUGUAGCAUUUAGCAAGUUAGUUAUUUCUUCGCGCCGGGGCGUGUGUGACUCGAUCUGUAGGUUAGUUAUUUCUUACCGAGCCGUAUGUGAUCGAUCUGUUCGUUUAUUCGGUGUUCUAGAUGGCGUCGCUCGGUUAGUAACUUCGUAUGUUUUUUUUAAUCCUCAAAAAAAAAACUUCGUAUGUUUUUGUUUUGAGGCAAAGUAACUUCGUAUGUGACGGGUAUACACCACAGCAUGUGGCCUGGUUUUUCUUUUUCUUUUUGAUAAUCAGCAUGCGCCCCUUUUUUUAGAGUUUUCUACGUGGGCUAAAGCCCGCUCAACCCCGCCUAUAAGCAGCGAAUUUUUUCCCCUCGGCCACCUCCUCCUUCCGAGCGAAACCCUACCUAUCCGAUCUGGCUCUCUCUCGCUCAUGUGGCAGCAGCGGUAGAUCGGAGGCAACAAAGCGCGACGACGGCGGCAGGAGUAGCUGCUCUCCUCUCCCUCUCCCUCUCCUGUCGAGUUCCUUCAGGGCGUCCUGCUGCGGAAGUUGCUCGUUGCGUCAGGGCCAGACAUGGUGCACGGCGGCAGACCCUGCGUGCGCCGCGGCCGGACUAGACUGAUCACGCGGCGGCGGCCCAGCCAGUGUGCGUGUCAUCCAUUCCCAGUGUGAUUGCUUGCAUGCGUCUUCCGAUCCCUAUUGCAGGAUUGAACCCUGUAUCUCUGGUGCCAUUCGUCUAUACACUUCUCAAUUCCAUCGGUGCAAGUGAGGGAGAGGAGGAGACAUUGUGAUAUGGGUAUUUGGUUAUGGCUUCCCGGAGUGAAACCCCCGGUUCGCCUACAAUACCCGCACCAGCCCCUUAUCAGUGGCUACCGCCACAGGGUAUGUUUAACUAAUUAGUCGGGCCGCUGUCGUCUGACCAUCCGUACUAGUGAGAUACAUCUUGUUGACCCUCUGUUUUUUCUUCUUCUUGGGUUUUGUCCAUCAGGUUGACAUGGAGCACAGGUCACAGGGGCACACCAGAGUUCCGGAGAAGACCGUCAAGCUCGACCAGCAACCUGGGUUAACAUGUGUACGACGCUCAACUCUCUGCUCUAAGUUUAGAUGAACCGCUUACAUGCGGGGAUUGGUUCAGAUAUCCGUUUUGUUCUGUUCCUCACUGUGAGUUCUUAUUGGUCAAUUGUGAGAUGCUUCUAUAUUACUCCCUCCAUCCUAAAAUAAGUGACUCGACUUUGUACUAAAGUUAGUACAAAGUCGAGUCAUUUAUUUUGAGACGGAGGGAAUUCACUGGAGUCCUUUGUGGCAAUCAGAAGUGAUACUGAUUGUAUGGUAAUGUAGAUAACUGUCCAAGCAAGCUGAGACUACAUCUAAAGAUGAAAGCCUAAAUGAGCUCUUUUACCAUAGAGUAAUUGUAAUUAAUUUCUUUUGAGAUGGAACUGUCUUAUUGAUCACACUUCUAAUCACUGUGUGCCAAAGACAACAUUUAAGUUUCUCAAAAGUUCUUCAUUCCUUCUUCCCUGUUCUAGGCUGCUUGAAGGGUUCUUCCUCUCGAGGCUUUGUUGAAUAUACUAUUUUUUUUGCACCAUUUUAAUUUGUGAAGGAGUACCUACUACAAAUGCUAAUUUGCUCCUCUUGGGAUUUCGAACUUUGGGUUCUGCUAUCAUUUAUGUAUGUCCUAUUAAUUCCAAUACUUGUCUUGCUUUGUGAUGCAUUCAUACAUGUUUAUUCCAAUCUAUUAUUUCAGAUGACCUUUGUUGCUCACAACUACGACAUGUUUAGUUCUGUUCAUAUCACUUAUUAGAAAAGUACUAACAUGUAUUUUUUGUUUAAGAUUCCAACGUAGAGCUCUAGUUAUAACUUGCAUAUGUCCUCUGUUGCAAUAGUAGAUGGUUUUCUGUAACUCAUUCAAACUAAUAUUUAUGUAUUUGUUUCUAAUAGGCUGAUUCGUAAGUCAUGUUUCAAGAAGUUGAUAUGAACAAAGGAGGAUCAGACCAACUCUACCUGCCUUCAAGAAGUCACAAGAAGUGGCAUCCAACAAAGGUUCCACGUUUCGAUGAAGGUGGGAGAGUGCCACACCAAAAAUUCUCUAUUGUUGACCUCCAAAAUUAGAAAGGAUGUUGUAUCAGAUGAUUAUGUACCUUGGGUUAUUUUGGAAUGGGCAUGUAAGUGAUGUGUAAUAUGCCCCCUGUUUAAGACUAGUUGGCUUGUAAUGUGAUGAGAAAAUUGGUCAAUGGAAAGAUGGCCUUAAAACUGCCACAAGCACACUACGCGUUUUGAAUCAGACCAGGCCAAAGCAAUAUUAGAGGAAGAACCUAUAAAGAAAAUAAUUCUUGAAAGGCUAGCAAAAAUGGCAAUUGAUUCACAAAAAGUGUGGGCUGGAUCAACCUCUAUUGGGUUGCAAAUUGGCUAUGGCCCACCAAAAAUUAGAAUCAAAAAUAGAAAAUGGGUUGAAUUAUUGGGCUUGGCCCAUUUGGAAACCAAGUGUGCACUAGCCCACCAAAAAUCUAGUGACGACAUCUUCGUCACCGAAGGUCCCAUAUCCGGUGACGUUUUUUGCGCGCCGCGUCACUAGGAAUAAUCUGUGACGGGGAUUCUGUGACGAAGCUGGUGACGCAUGAAAAAUGUCACCCAUGAGUAUUUUGUGACAUUUUUAGCUAUUACGUGACAUUUGUCAGCUUGUCACAGUAGGUCUGAUCUCUUGUAGUGAUUGUUGAGAAACUCACAUAAUGGUAGAACUGGAGGCAUCUACACAUCGACCCAGAUGUCUCUAUUACCUUCAAUAUCAUCUUCCGGACAAAUAUCAAAGGUGAUAACCAUAUCAGGCUCAAAUGCAUAAGCCUUGCAUAAUGCUUGCCAAGUUUUGCAUUCAAAAUAGGUGUAUGUGUCUGCAUUGUAUAAUUUGACAUUGAAAGUAUAACCAUGCUCGGUCUUCAGGUAAACUCUCUUUACCUCCAUAGUUGCCAUAGCACUGAAACCUAUCUUAUCCAAGACAAAAAUUCUUGCAUGACAAGGGAUGCGCUAGUAGAAUAGUGAAAAUUUAAAAUUAUAAGUUGAAGCAAAUGAAGUAUAAGUCAUGCUUAAUUACGAAAAAAGACUUGUCAUUGUGAAUUACUGUAUCCACUUCGAAGGUCUCAUCCAGCUUGAUGCUGAAGCACCUAUCAUCAAUAAGGAAAUUUCUGUCGCACAGGCCGCACUGGUCUUCACAGUAUUCGCACAUAAUGAAAUCUUUUUCGUCGUCAGACGACAUUUCCUAUGUUCACAUAGGUGAAACAUUAAACACUUACUAGUUCUAUUAAUUCAACUAGUUAUAUUAAUUCAACUAAGCAUUUACUAAAAAUAAACUAGUUCUAUUAAUUUUAUUACUAAAAUAAAGUAGAUAGUUCUAUAUAGUAAUAUUUUAAUUAGAUCAUCAAAUGUCAGGUAUCUAAAUUUUCUUACUAAAAAUAAACUAGUUCUAUUAAUUCAACUAAUUCAACUAAGAAUUUACUAAAAAUAAACUAGUUCUAUUAAUUUUCUUAGUAAAAUAUAUAAAGUAGCUAUANNNNNNNNNNNNNNNNNNNNNNNNNNNNNNNNNNNNNNNNNNNNNNNNNNNNNNNNNNNNNNNNNNNNNNNNNNNNNNNNNNNNNNNNNNNNNNNNNNNNNNNNNNNNNNNNNNNNNNNNNNNNNNNNNNNNNNNNNNNNNNNNNNNNNNNNNNNNNNNNNNNNNNNNNNNNNNNNNNNNNNNNNNNNNNNNNNNNNNNNNNNNNNNNNNNNNNNNNNNNNNNNNNNNNNNNNNNNNNNNNNNNNNNNNNNNNNNNNNNNNNNNNNNNNNNNNNNNNNNNNNNNNNNNNNNNNNNNNNNNNNNNNNNNNNNNNNNNNNNNNNNNNNNNNNNNNNNNNNNNNNNNNNNNNNNNNNNNNNNNNNNNNNNNNNNNNNNNNNNNNNNNNNNNNNNNNNNNNNNNNNNNGCGACGGGGAUGCGGCGCGACGGGCGGCGACGGCGCGAGACGGCGACGUACGGGGCGGCGGCGCGAGACAGCGACGACGGGUGGUGGGGGCGGCGAGGGCGAGACAUACCACGCGAUGGGCGACGGCGCGGCGGCGGCAAUGUCGCGCGAAGCAGUUGAAGAAGAAGUGAGGACAUGAAACUGAAUUUUUCGUAAGUGCUAUAUAUAUAGGAGGGGCCUUUAGUACCGGUUGGAGCCACCAACCUGUACUAAAGGCCAAAUUUGGCCAAGUCAAGCGGCGGGAAGCGGCCCCCUUUAGUACCGGUUGGAGUCACGAACCGAUACUAAAGGGGUGCGCUGCGAUGCGCAAAGUUUAGUCCCACCUCACCGGACGAAGGGCAGCCGCACUGGUUUAUAAACCAGGCUUCUGGGCCUAAGUAUGGCGUGCUGUCCUCUGAGCCUGCUGGCCCUUGUGGGCCUGAAUUUACAUGCCCAAGGCCUAUCAGCCCCAUUAGAUAGCGCCCCAACAAUUUUUCAUAUAGUUUUUUAUUUUUUGCUUUAUUUUUUUAUUUAUUUCUGAGUAAUUUUUUAAUAUAGUUUUUUUAUGAUUUAUUUAUUUUCUUCUAUUUAUUUCUGAGUAGUUUUUUAUAUAGUUUUUUCUUCUUUAUUUAUUUUCUUNNNNNNNNNNNNNNNNNNNNNNNNNNNNNNNNNNNNNNNNNNNNNNNNNNNNNNNNNNNNNNNNNNNNNNNNNNNNNNNNNNNNNNNNNNNNNNNNNNNNNNNNNNNNNNNNNNNNNNNNNNNNNNNNNNNNNNNNNNNNNNNNNNNNNNNNNNNNNNNNNNNNNNNNNNNNNNNNNNNNNNNNNNNNNNNNNNNNNNNNNNNNNNNNNNNNNNNNNNNNNNNNNNNNNNNNNNNNNNNNNNNNNNNNNNNNNNNNNNNNNNNNNNNNNNNNNNNNNNNNNNNNNNNNNNNNNNNNNNNNNNNNNNNNNNNNNNNNNNNNNNNNNNNNNNNNNNNNNNNNNNNNNNNNNNNNNNNNNNNNNNNNNNNGAGUACUUUUUUAUAUAGUUUUUUCUUUUCUGCUUUAUUUUUUUUCUUCUACUUAUUUCUGAGUAGUUCGAAAGAUAGUUUUCGUCCGAAACCCUAAUAGUUCGAAAAAGAGUGUCCAGUUUGUACACCAAGUGCAUCCAGUUCUUGCCAUAACCAACUCUAAUUUUUUGCAUAUGCCAUGUGGGUGAAAUGAUGAUACCAUGCCAAGUUUCAACCUUUUCAGAGUUCAUUUGUAGUGCUUUUCAAUUUCAGGGUCAUUUGGCUCAAAACAAAUCAGUAAAUGCAUCAAAAAUAUCAAUUUAUGUCAGAAAGGGUUGAAAGUUAACGAAGUGGCAUUGAAUGGAGCAUAAUGAACGUAAAAAAGUCCGGAGUUGUAAUAAGUUAUUAAAAUUUUGAAUAGCCAGUGUAACAGAUGAGUUCUCGUCCGAAACCCUGAUCCUCUGUAAGAGAUUGUCCCAGUUUGUACAUGAAGUGCAUCCAGUUUUUGCCGUAACCCUCUCUACUCUUUUGCACAUGCUAGGUGGGUGAAAUGAUGAUACCAUGCCAAGUUUCAACAUUUCCAGAGUUCAUUUUGUAGUGAUUUUCAAUUUCACGGUCAUUUAGCUCUCUAAACAAAUCGGUAAAUGACUGAAAAAUAGCAAAUGAUGUCAGAACAUGUUGAAAAUUGAUGACUUCUCUUUGAAUGGUGCAUACGGAAUGCAAAAAAAGUCUGGAGUUCAAACAAGUUUAAAAAAAUGAAGUGACUGUGUAACAAAUGAGUUCUCGUCCAAAACCCUGAUACUCCGAAAGAGAUUGUCCAGUUUGUACACGAAGUGCAUCCAGUUUUUGUCGUAACCCUCUCUACUCUUUUGCAUAUGCUAUGUGGGUGAAAUGAUGAUACCAUGCCAAGUUUCAACAUUUUCAGAGUUCAUUUUGUAGCGAUUUUCAAUUUCACAGUCAUUUAGCUCUCUAAAAAAAUCGAUAAAUGACUAAAAAUAGCAAAUAAUGUCAGAAUGUGUUGAAAAUUGAUGACUUCGCUUUGAAUGGUGCAUAUGGAACGCAAAAAAAGUCUGGAGUUCAAAUAAGUUUAAAAAAUGAAGUGCUCGUGUAACAAAUGAGUUCUCAUCCGAAACCCUGAUACUCCGAAAGAGAUUGUUCAGUUUGUACACGAAGUGCGUCCAGUUUUUGUCGUAACCCUCUCUACUCUUUGCACAUGCUAUAUGGGUGAAAUUAUGAUACCAUGCCAAGUUUCAACAUUUCCAGAGUUCAUUUUGUAGUGAUUUUCAAUUUCACGGUCAUUUAGCUCUAUAAACAAAUUGGUAAAUGACUGAAAAAUAGCAAAUGAUGUUAGAACAUGUUGAAAAUUGAUGACGUCGCUUUGAAUGAUGCAUAUAGAACGCAAAAAAAUUCUGGAGUUCAAAUAAGUUAAAAAAAUGAAGUGCCCGUUUAACAGAUGAGUUCUCGUCCGAAAUCGUGAUACUCCGAAAGAGAUUGUCCAGUUUAUACAUGAAGUGCGCCCAGUUUUUGCCGUAACCCUCUCUACUCUUUUGCGCAUGCUAUGUGGGUGAAAUGAUGAUAUCAUGCCAAGUUUCAACAUUUUCAGAGUUCAUUUUGUACUGAUUUUCAAUUUCACGGUCAUUUAGCUCUCUAAACAAAUCGGUAAAUGAAAAAAUAGCAAAUGAUGUCAGAACGUGUUGAAAAUUGAUGACUUCGCUUUGAAUGGUGCAUACGGAACGCAAAAAAGUAUGGAGUUCAAAUAAGUUUAAAAAAUGAAGUGCCCGUGUAACAGAUGAGUUCUCGUCCGAAACCCUGAUACCCUGAAAGAGAUUGUCCAGUUUGUACACGAAGUGUGUCUAAUUUUUGUUGUAACCCUCUCUACUCUUUUGCACAUGCUAUGUGGGUGAAAUGAUGAUACCAUGCAAAGUUUCAACAUUUUCAGAGUUCAUUUGUAGUGAUUUUCAAUUUCACGGUCAUUUAGCUGGGGCGACCGGCGGGGUAGGACCGGCGUGGGGGGAUUGAGGGGGAGACCGAGUGAGUGUGAGUGUGAGUGGAGAGAGGAGAGAGUGAGGGCGUAAACAUGUAAAAAUAUACAUAAAAAAUACAUUGAUUAUCAAUGAUCUUUUUGUGUACAAUCUGAAUUUUCAAUAUGAGUCCUCAACGGUUUAGAAACCGGUGAAGACUCAUAUUGCGACCACAAAUUCUACACAUAGAGUUCAAUGAAGACCAAGUGCUUGUGAUAGUUUGAGAAGUAACAUACUUAGGGUGGUAAAAAUCCUGCUAGGGGAGUGAGGUAGAACUAAAAAUAGCCUGCCACAACCACUUUACUACCGGUUCAUGCCAUGAACCGUUACUAAAGGGGCUGGCCGGGCCCCAGCCUGACAACAGCCAACCACUGCCUCUUUAGUACCGGUUCGUGGCACGAACCGGUACUAAAGAUUCGCUAAGAACCGGUACUAAAGAUCUCCUCCCGCCUAGCCGUUGAAACCGGCACUAAUGGACAUAUUAGUGCCGACUCAAAUUCAAACCGGGACUAAUGUGUCUCACAUUUGACCCUUUUUCUACUAGUGGCAUAGCGAGGCGAUAUCGGCGGAGUAUCGACGGUGUGGCGACAUGAUAGAUUUUGGGAAGGGUUAGAGACUACAUGUGUGUGAGAGAGAAAUUGAGAGAGGGGAUAGCGAGGGGCCGCGUCGACGGUCUAGGCCCACAAACUGGUGGUCUGGGCGAUGGGGCCAACACCACCCGUAGUUUUUUAUUUAGCUUAUUAAUUUGUAUUUUAUAUAUGUUUCAUUUAGCUAAUAUAUAUUUUAUUUAGCUUAUUUUUCAAUUUAGGUUAAUUUUGAAAUUAUAUUUCAUUUAGUUUAUGUUUCCUUAGAUUAUUUUUUUAGUUUAGAUUUAAUUUACAGAUUGUAUUUUAUUUCAAUUUCUAAUUUGUAUUAUAUUUACCUUAUUUUUCAUUUAUGUUUCAUUUAGCUUACUUUUCAAUUUAGCUUACUUUUAAAAUUAUAUUUCAUUUAAUUAUGCUUUAGUUAGGUUCUAAAUUAUUUUUUAUUUAGUCCAUAUAUAUAUGUAGAAACUAUAUACAAUAGAGAUGUUGCCAUAUGCUUACUGGUGGCGUAUCCAAAUAGUACAUGUCAGGACACCAUGGGUUCGGUGAGGAUACUUCGUCCCACUCACUUGUGGUGUGUACAAACUAAUCCACACUACCAGUAACCUAUUACAGGUGGUGCACCAAAUGUACCCAGGUCACCGAUAUUUCAGAAAAAUUGCGGUGGUAAGGAUUGAAAAUGGCGCAUCGCUAAUUAGGAUUGUGUGUAACCAUUUCUACACUACUGAUCUACACCAUUGCUCAUGUGGCAGGAAUGAUUGUUCAUUACAACCCUCUUACAAAGAAUUGUGCAUAACACACACAUCGUGGUAGAUCUACCCUUUUCAAAGAAAAGCACAACCAAACUGUUGCUACUUCUCGAGAGACUUUUCAGAUUCCUAAUACACCCAUAAUCAGACCUCUUCAUACCCUCGAGAGAAUUCUCCAUGUCUUCUGCUUUAGAUUUGGUCCCCUCUUGGAGGAGUGUCGCGGUAUUCUCACGGGGGUGCAAGACGACAUAUGGCACAAGGUGGCUUCGUGUGAGGGCAAGACUGCUGCUGGAAUAUCUAGGGAUGGGUAUGCGAGUAUCACACGCUAGUUUACCCAGGUUCGGGGCUCUCCGGAGAGAUAACACCCCUACUCCUGCAUGUCUGAGUAUAUGUGGUAUAUCUGGUACAGAGUGCUCCUGGAGCUGUAUCUGAGGUCAGUGCCAUAGGCAUCUGGCCUUGUAUAUGCAUGUGGCAUGGUGGCCGUUGCUCUUGGCCGAAUGGGUGUGCUUGGGCAUGCUUGCCCGUAGGAGUGGAUGGAUGGAUUGCUAGCUAGCUCUCUUGCUAGCUAGCUAGCUUGUGUGUGUGCGUGAGUGUGUGAGUCCAUCCUCUGAUGGAUGGAUGGAGCUAGCUAUAUAUAGUGUGUAGUGGGCAUGGGACAUGGCGUUGGUUGUAAGCUACCUUGGGUAGCUUACAAGCCAAGCCAUGCAUGGGGCAUGGUGCAUGUCAAGCUUGUCCCUUAGGAUAUUUUAUAAAUCAGUACCCAGGGGACAUGGUACACUAUAGAUAAUGUCACGGUAUGGUCACCCCGUCGGUGUCUCGUCAGGCUACAGUUGACUUCGGGCAGUCGGCCUGGCGGAGGAGUCGGCAGCCAGCAGUCGGCCUGGUGGAGCAGUCGGCAGCCAGCAGUCGGCCUGGUGGAGCAGUCGGCAGCCAGCAGUCGGCCUGGUGGAGCAGUCAGCAGCCAGCAGUCGGCAGCCAGCAGUCGGCCUGGUGGAGCAGUCGGCAGCCAGCAGUCGGCCUGGUGGAGCAGUCAGCAGCCAGCAGUCAGCCGCCGGCCAGGUAGUUGGAAUGAGGGGGCUUUGCUAGCCCCGAUGUCUUGAAUUCUUGUCUCGCCCUCUUCGGGGUAUCCGUGUCCAAUUACUACGACAGUAGCCCCCAAGCCUCCGGGCAACUUGGCAAAGUUGGGCGGAGGUUUUUUGGCAAGUGUUCAUGGAAAUGAUCAUGAAAAAGACACAGUUAGUCUAUGCAGAUAUAUCAAAUGUUUGCUUUUAGCAUUGCAAGUUUUAUGCGGAGGGUGCCGACUCGGUUUCGUCCGAGCCCCCUUAAUCUUUUUCGUGUUCCCUCCGCUUUUUGGCUUGUGCUCUCGCUCGCCGGACAGCCGCUCUGCGGUUUGUGGCUGAGAGUGGGCCGCGAAGCGGAGUGUACAAUACUCAGAGUCUGGGAGCAGAUUCAACCGAGUUGAUACUUGUAAAGGAAACGGUCGGGUCGCCCGAAGCGUUUUUCUUCCCGGACGUUUUUCGCGUGGGUGGCCUCCAGCGUUCACUCUUGCUAGUCGGACAGCCGCUCUGCGGUCUGUGACUAAGAGUGGGCUUUUGGUACCGCGCACGGUACUAAGCCGUCUGCGGGAACUAACGUCUCAGGCCAAGCGGCCAGCCCCCGGACCAACUCUGGCUGGCGCCGGGGCGAACAGUGAUGCUACUGUAAUAAAAUGCGGAGACAGCCCCCGAGCAUCGCUUGGGGUUAUCCGUGCUUGCGUGGUGCAAAAAAUAUGCGGGUGAGGAUCUCACAUUGGUUUUUGUGUAGCCGAGGCAGAGUUUGCCGAAGACAGCCGGCGCGGCUCAACGCUUGCUGAGCGCGCCGGCGCACCCGCUGGGUGUAGUCUUCGAGCCUCCGGGUGCUUAAGAAGGGUCCAGCUGAUCGGGCUUGACCGGCCAGGCGGCGAGCGGAACGCGGCCGAGCCGUCUUGGCACAGCCGGCCAAGCGGCGAGGCAUCUGGCAGCACCCUUUUCUUCUUUUUUCUCUUCUGCCGGCUACUGAGAGCCAGACAAAACUCUUCUCUUGCCUGUAAUCUUCCGUGGGGGCGCACCAGCGCACCCGCUGGGUGUAAGCCCCGAGAUUCGGGCCAACUACUGAGCAGUCGGGCCGGAUCUCCCGGCAACUACUUUGUCUUCUUCUUUGAGGGGGCGCGUCAGCGCAUCCGCUGGAUGUAGCCCCCGAGAUUCAGGUCGACUGCUGAGCAGUCGGGCCGGAUCUCCCGUCAACUACUUUGUCUUCUUUGUUGAAGUUGAUUCAUUUUUCUUCUUCUCUUUUUCUCGUCAGCCGGCCGGGCAGGCGGACUCCGGCAUAGCAGUCGGGCCCUUUACAGCCGGCCAGGCAGUCAUCGGUCGGACGCAAAUCUGGCAGUCGGACGCAUAUUCCAGCCGGUUGCCUGCCAUCGAAUGCACAUCUCUCUCACUUCUUUUUUUGUCCGACUCCACGUGGGGAGCCGGACCCUUCUUUCCUCUGCCGGCUUGGGCAGCCGGCAUCGCUCCACCCGGCCCCAUUUUUUUUCUGCCAGUCGGCUGUGGGCAGUCAGCUUCCCACUCUUUUUUUGUUUUUUUUUCUGGCUAUGGGCAGCCGGACGUGUAGACUCUUUCUCUUUUUUUAGCAGAAACAGCCGGCUCCACAUUUUUCCAACAGUCGGACUCUGUUUCUUUCAGUCGGAUGGGCAGUCGGCCCCAGCACGAGCAGCCGGCCGCAGCUGCUGAGCAGCGGAAUGCGGCGCGGGAGCGCGCAGUCGGCAGGCAGCCGGGCUGGCUGGGUGGCCAGGGAGUCGGCCAGUACGAGAGCCGGCCGGGUGGCCAGGGAGUCGGCCAGUGCGGGAGCCGUUCGGGCCGCGCGCGGGACCAAUCGGCUGGGGAAGCCGGCAGGCGGGGCGCGGCUGUAGAGGAGGCGUGCGGGGCAGGCGGCCACGGGCGGACCGGCACAGGCGGACGGGUCGCGGAGCCGCGGGCAGGAGGAUGUGGGGCGGCGCAGGNNNNNNNNNNNNNNNNNNNNNNNNNNNNNNNNNNNNNNNNNNNNNNNNNNNNNNNNNNNNNNNNNNNNNNNNNNNNNNNNNNNNNNNNNNNNNNNNNNNNNNNNNNNNNNNNNNNNNNNNNNNNNNNNNNNNNNNNNNNNNNNNNNNNNNNNNNNNNNNNNNNNNNNNNNNNNNNNNNNNNNNNNNNNNNNNNNNNNNNNNNNNNNNNNNNNNNNNNNNNNNNNNNNNNNNNNNNNNNNNNNNNNNNNNNNNNNNNNNNNNNNNNNNNNNNNNNNNNNNNNNNNNNNNNNNNNNNNNNNNNNNNNNNNNNNNNNNNNNNNNNNNNNNNNNNNNNNNNNNNNNNNNNNNNNNNNNNNNNNNNNNNNNNNNNNNNNNNNNNNNNNNNNNNNNNNNNNNNNNNNNNNNNNNNNNNNNNNNNNNNNNNNNNNNNNNNNNNNNNNNNNNNNNNNNNNNNNNNNNNNNNNNNNNNNNNNNNNNNNNNNNNNNNNNNNNNNNNNNNNNNNNNNNNNNNNNNNNNNNNNNNNNNNNNNNNNNNNNNNNNNNNNNNNNNNNNNNNNNNNNNNNNNNNNNNNNNNNNNNNNNNNNNNNNNNNNNNNNNNNNNNNNNNNNNNNNNNNNNNNNNNNNNNNNNNNNNNNNNNNNNNNNNNNNNNNNNNNNNNNNNNNNNNNNNNNNNNNNNNNNNNNNNNNNNNNNNNNNNNNGCGGACGCGGGAGGCGGGCGCGGGAGCCGGCUGUGGGCGCGGAGCACGCGGCCGCGACCCAAGGCGGAGAGGAGCGGAGGCCGGUCCGGGGCAGCGGCAGCCGACGCAGCCGGAUCUGGAGUCGGCGGCCAGGCAGAGUCGGUGCGCGCGGUGGAGCAGGCGGAGGGCGACAGGGCCGGUGCCUCAGUGCUGUUGGAGGCCGGUCCCGGGCAGCCCGCGGAGCCGCGGGGAGCAGCUGGUGGUCGCAGACGCGCGGCCGUGGGCGAGCUCGCAGAUGGCCGUCAGCGGGCGGAGUGGAGGAGAGCUGCAGGGAGCCCAAGAAGGCCGGCAGCGUCCAUCGGGUGUGGACGGAGCCGAAGAGGGCCGAAGCCUGGCGGAGCAGCUCGCUUGAUUUGCUUUGGUGGUCAGUGCGAAUGGAGAUGAGCAGAAGACGAGCGCCCAUGAGCAGGGAGAUUGAGAGAAGCGAAGAACACAGCGUGCACGAGCAUAGUAUGGCCAAUGUAUGGUCAAUAUCCGACCAUUAUCUAGGCAGUGUACAUGCUACGUCUGGGACGCAUCUAAGAAGAGUAUAGCCAUUAUCUGGCUAUUGCAUAUCUAGCAUCUGGCCAACGAACAGGUGUAGUAUGGGCAUUGUAUGGAUAGUGUACAAGCAUUAUCUGGCUUGUGUAUGGCUAUGGUUUGACCGUGCAUCUAGCUAGCUUGCAUAGACGUAUAUGGAGGAGCGAACGCGCGUUCCGGCCGGAAACUAGGCGCAGCGCGGAGGGGAGCGGACGCGAAACUGCCGACCGAGGCGAGGCCCCACGCGCGGCGCACACACGGACGGACGGCCGGCGUCGCAACGGUGGUGACGAAGGCGGCGAGGCCGACGACGAGGACGCACCGUCCCAUGCGGCCGCUCCGGGGGCAGGUCGAAGUCGAGCCCCCGAGCGCUACCGGAGAGACGGCGCGACGCCGCGGCAGAGAUGAUGAAGAUGGUCCCGCCCGGACUACGAAACCAGCAGCAACGCGGUAGCAUAGUACCGCCCCACGGUGGGCGCCAAAUGUCGUGGUAUUCUCACGGGGAAUGCAAGAUGACAUAUGCCACAAGGUGGCUUCGUGUGAGGGCAAGACUGCUGCCGGAAUAUCUAGGGACGGGUAUGCGAGUAUCACGCGCUAGUUUACCCAGGUUCGGGGCUCUCCGGAGAAAUAACACCCCUACUCCUGCAUGUCUGAGUAUAUGUGGUAUAUCUGGUACAAAGUGCUCCUGGAGCUGUAUCUGAGGUCAGUGCCAUAGGCAUCUGGCCUCGUAUAUGCAUGCGGCAUGGUGGCCGUUGCUCUUGGCCGAAUGGGCGUGCUUGGGCAUGCUUGCCCGUAGGAGUGGAUGGAUGGAUUGCUAGCUAGCUCUCUUGCUAGCUAGCUAGCUUGUGUGUGUGCGUGAGUGUGUGAGUCCAUCCUCUAAUGGAUGGAUGGAGCUAGCUAUAUAUAGUGUGUAGUGGGUAUGGGACAUGGCGUUGGUUGUAAGCUACCUUGGGUAGCUUACAAGCCAAGCCAUGCAUGGGGCAUGGGGCAUGGUGCAUGUCAAGCUUGUCUCUAGGGUAUUUUAUAAAUCAGUAUCCAGGGGACACGGUACACUAUAGAUGACGUCACGGUAUGGUCGUUCCGUCGCUGUCUCGUUAGGCUGCAGUUGACUUCGGGCAGUCGGCCUGGUGGAGGAGUCGGCAGCCAGCAGUCGGCCUGGUGGAGCAGUCGGCAGCCAGCAGUCGGCCUGGUGGAGCAGUCAGCAGCCAGCAGUCGGCAGCCAGCAGUUGGCAGCCAGCAGUCGGCCUGGUGGAGCAGUCGGCAGCCAGCAGUCGGCCUGGUGGAGCAGUCGGCAGCCAACAGUCGGCCUGCUGGAGCAGUCAGCAGCCAGCAGUCAGCCGCCGGCCAGGUAGUUGGACUGAGGGGUUUUGCUAGCCCCGAUAUCUUGAAUUUUUGUCUCGCCCUCUUCGGAGUAUCCGUGUCCAAUUACUUCUAAAUUACUUCGACAAGGAGUAUGGUUCUAUGUCUGGCUCACGACAUUGUUGGCAAACUCCAAAGUGGGAAUGUUCGCAGACCUUCUCCGGCUAGCCUAAAACCAAAUCAUAAUCCUGACCCCCGUGUAGAUCAAAUCUACAAGCCCUUUUCAUUGCAUUUUGUAUCAAUGUUAACUAAAGUGAAACCCAAAGAGUCCGAAGCAUGACUUUGGUCACACAACCAGCAUACUCAGAAGCAUAAAAGGACCGUGGAAAGGAAGACCUUGUAAAAAAAAUUCAUUAAGUCAUCAAUAUCAAUAAAAUUGCAAAUUCGAGGGAAGCAAAAGGAGCACACAAAAUAUGUUUGAUGCUUGCACAUCACUAUGUGCUCUUGAUCGUACAUGCAUCUACUCAUAGAAAGCUCAUGAGGCCACUGUUGUGGAACAUAGUACAAAAUAUAAAAAUUUACCGCACUAACAUGCACGCUCAGGAACACUAUGAAGAUGCAUAUAGUUAAAUCAAUCUUUACCAACACAAACGCAUCAGAAAAUUUGAUGUUGCUGAAGACGCACAAAUUCCUACAACUAGGUUAAAUCUCCUAGCCGUGAGACUUCCUCAUGUCUAGGAUCGAACGUAUGAUCCCUCUAUGAUAUCCACGUGUUACGUGUCAGCGAUUCAACAGCUCUUCACCAUCUAGUACAAAGUGCAGUCUAGUAGCAUGGAGAAGAAAUAUCACACCGAGAGAGGGAGAGUGCAACAAAAAAUUGGUGUGUUUGGAGGGCAACAUCUCCCCUCUAUUUAUAGAUGGUCAAGUGGUAUCACAGCCUUGGACAGGGGCUGCCCUCCUAGGGCUAGUAUACCAAGUAGGGAGAUUCUCCUAGAGGAUCCCCUCCCAAUCCUAGCGUCCCAUUCUUUCUUUCCCAUGGAGAGGUGGGGCUCACCAACUUGGACCAUUUGGCCCAAGGGCUGCCACCCAUUGGGACAGCCAAGGGGCAGCCCACUCGGGCCACUUGGAACCUUCUUGGACCUUCUAGGUACGUCCAUGUCCUGAUUUUUCUGGAAUGCUUCCGUCACUUUCCCGAAACACUUACCUUGAAUACGGAACAUUUCUCGUUCCUUUCUCAUUUACUCCUAGUACAUGUGUGGCCAUGCAUGUUUGGUAAUAUAUGGACAUGUCCCAGAACAACUUUGGGCCAAUAAGGGGUCUAGAUACCCAUGUUGAUUCCCACAUACACAUAAAGAUAUUUAUCGGGUGAACCUUUUAUUUGCGUAGACAAUUCCUUUUGCUUCGCGAUACUUAAGAAAACCCGAUGCGAGAUUUUUAUCACUAUGCCUGUGAAGCAAUUACUUGAUCACAAUACCGAGUUAUCUCCACUACCAGUUUGUUCUGUUUUCUCAUUUCCUUAUUCCAGUAUCUCUGAGAUCAUAUCACACUGUGUCUGGCCAGACAUGAUGGAUACCGUAAUAUUGAGAGGGCAUGAGGAGUAUCUCCUCAUCGUCGUAGGAGCAAAUCUUAGUCUUGAACUAUUGAGUCCCUUGGCAUACUUUUUUGAUGUACCCGACAGUUACCAUUGUGAUCACCCAUUCACGAGUAAAGUUUAGCAACCUCAAAGUAACCGUCCAGUAUGAAGGAACACGACACUCUCAUUCUCUAAGGAUGUGAGUAUAUGUUAACUCUUCACAUGAUAAAACCGAUAACAACAUGAAGAUGGAAUCUCGUGUAUAUCAUUAGUUGGGUCUGUCCAACACAAUUGUUCUGCCAAUAAUGUGUUCUUAUUGUUGUCGGCAUCCUUGUUACUUAACAAUGCCCUAUGGUCUAAAAAAUAAUACCAUCAUGCAACACAUGAGCUAGUAUUAAAUCUCAUAUUUAAGAAAUAAAUUAUAUUAUAUUAUUACCUUUAGGGCAUAUUUUCACCACAAAAUUCCCACCACUGGUACUUCCUAUGCAUGGGUGAGUGUGCGAAAUUACUGGUGCUGGGCACAAACAAUGCCCGACACUGGUACUUGAGUUGCCAAUGGCAGACAGAAAUACGUGCCCGCCACUGGUAUUUUAGGCUAGAAUAAUCCCGGGGCCCAAAAUUAUUUGUGGCGGACAGAACAUUAAAGGCAUGUAAUGUUGGCCCACAUCUAAUCUGGGCUGAUUUUACCAUUGGCAUUCACGACUUUGCGUCUGCCACUGGUAAGUGGCUAGAUUACCAAUGGUAGGCGCAAAUGCAUUCCCAUCACUGAUAAGGAUCCACCUAUAAGCAGUUUUCUAGUAACGUGGGAUAGUAGCACAUACGUGACCUCAAGACAUGAAUGACUCAGGUCACCUCUAAAGCCACUGGAUGCAUAGGAGGAGAGAGCCGACAAUCCCGUUGUCCCCUUCUUUGUAAGCCAUGCGGGCUUCUCCCAGUUGGCUAUUCCGGUGGCGGCGUCUGCGGGGAUACGGGAGGAGGACGGGUUGGGGCUAGGGUAGAGCCAUCUGUGAAAAAAACAUGGUGCUCGGAAAAGGAGUGUGCUUUCCUAUAAAUUACACCCUUGUGGUAUAGCCACAAAUCUGGAGGAAGAAGCUAGCUAGCCUUGUUAUGUUAUUUAUGUUUGCUGAAAAUUGAACCGUGAGAUAGAAUUUGAAAAUUAUGCAAUUUUAUUCGCGACAAUAUGUAUUGGCUACUUGGUGGUAGAUUUUCACAAUUGACUUUCUCAUUAGAUUAUGGUAAAUAAUUUUAUGUUGUACUCAGAAUGUACCUUUUUUACAUCAGUAUUAGAGAUUUUGCUGAAGCUGAACAUGAGGCGACGAGGCGGGCAACCUAGUAACCCUACCAACUACUUGUCAUCUACCCAUCUCGCUGCCACCAAGGCGUGUCACCGUGUAAAUCCCACGUGGAGGCGGCGAAGGUUGGGAGUCUCGAUUGGGGGGCUUGUUGUGAUGGCAGUGGAGGGUUGUUGUGGGACAAUGAAGGAGAUGUGUGGUCGAGCAGAGGUCUUCGUUAGGCGGUGCGCGACGCCAGCAUUGGAGAAGCCAAAAGGAUCUAUUGGGAAGAUCAUCAGUUGUCCAGCCCGGUUGGAUCAUCGGAGAAUAGGGCAUCGGUGAACAGUUCCGUAUGACAGCGAGCUUGAUACAAGACCCGGGCAUGUCCUGCCAUGGGUGAAUUUUUUCCAGGUUUUCUUAGGAAGUCUUUGUAUUUGUUUUNNNNNNNNNNNNNNNNNNNNNNNNNNNNNNNNNNNNNNNNNNNNNNNNNNNNNNNNNNNNNNNNNNNNNNNNNNNNNNNNNNNNNNNNNNNNNNNNNNNNNNNNNNNNNNNNNNNNNNNNNNNNNNNNNNNNNNNNNNNNNNNNNNNNNNNNNNNNNNNNNNNNNNNNNNNNNNNNNNNNNNNNNNNNNNNNNNNNNNNNNNNNNNNNNNNNNNNNNNNNNNNNNNNNNNNNNNNNNNNNNNNNNNNNNNNNNNNNNNNNNNNNNNNNNNNNNNNNNNNNNNNNNNNNNNNNNNNNNNNNNNUCUACAGACCCUUCUUGAAGGUUUUUUCUCCGGGGCGGCGUUUUGCUUCUCAGGUCACGGGUGCUGGCGUCUCCUAGUUUGCAUCGAUGACCUCCCACCCCUUGCAUCUACAAACUCUUGGGUUCAAAAAAGUUUGCUCUGGCUAGGCAGAGGCCAGAGGCGGCAUUAAUGUAGGCUCACGACACACCAUUGGUGAAUGCAGGAGGAAGAAGACUUGGGUGCCCCCAAGAUUUUGAGUGUUUCCUAUUUUUUUGUAAAGGUGUUUUUGUAGGGCCGUUUGAUACUUAAUAUGGCCUUAGGCCUUUUCGCAGAAAAAGGAGGUUUUGCUUAAUCUUCACAAAUUUGCACAUGUUUUUUCUUUCAUUUUACAGUUUUUAGCAUAACUUCAUUUCAUAGUUGACACCCGCUCCAUGAAGCUUCUUGGGUCAGCAUGCGGCACCCGCCGAACAUGCAUGGGGGUACACAACCUCCUAGGCCUUGGUCAUAGAUUGAAUAGGCUGCUCUGACCUGUAGGCCUAUCCUAGCUGGUCUCUUCCCUUUUGCACUGUGGUAAAUCCUAUUUCGCACUUAUAGUUUCAAACAAAGUUCAUAAGGUAAGCAGUGCUCAUACGCAAGCGCUAUGUCUCGUAUUAAGCGAGACAAAUGGAUCUCUCGCGUCGAGCGUUACAGAACAGGCCGACCCAUUGACGCAAACCUAAAAGAAGAAAUAAGGUGGAGAUAGCGCUACUAGCCACCUACUCCACGUCAGGCUCGUGAUCAACUAGUACGGCGCGACCUAGUUGAACUAGAAGAGUCGGGUUUUCACUAGUUUUCCGGGUUUUGAAAAGUGCCGCAUGAUCAACUAGUAGUGCGCGAAUAACUACAAGAAAAGAUCCUUUUUUGUUUUCUCUGUAUUUCUUUUUCUUUUGGUUUUCUUAUUUCUUCAUCGGUUUUCUAUUUUCCCAUGUUAUUCUUUGUUUUUUAUUUUUUUUCCUUUCUCUCUCUCUCUCUCUCUCUCUCUCUCUCUUUGUUUCUUUCAUUCAUUAUUUUAUUCUUUUUUAUUCUCAUUUUUCUUUUUUUUCUUUCGUUUUUUGUUUUCUUUAGUAGUUUUCAAUUUAUUUUGUUUUCCUUUGUUUUUAUUGGUUUCCACAGUUUUGAANNNNNNNNNNNNNNNNNNNNNNNNNNNNNNNNNNNNNNNNNNNNNNNNNNNNNNNNNNNNNNNNNNNNNNNNNNNNNNNNNNNNNNNNNNNNNNNNNNNNNNNNNNNNNNNNNNNNNNNNNNNNNNNNNNNNNNNNNNNNNNNNNNNNNNNNNNNNNNNNNNNNNNNNNNNNNNNNNNNNNNNNNNNNNNNNNNNNNNNNNNNNNUGAAUACAUGGUCAACAUUUUUAACAUUUUCCAAAUUCUUGAUUGAUAUUUUUGAAAUUCAAGAAUAACAAUUUCUGAAUACCCGGUCAAUAUUUUUCAUAUACAUAUCUUUUAAACAUUUUCAAAUGCUUGAUUAACAUUUUUUGAAACAAGAUUCACAUUUUCAAAUAUUUAUUCAACAUUUUUACAAAUGCUUGAUUAACUUUUUUAUAAACAUGAUCAAAAUUUUCAAUCAUCUUUUAAUACAUGGUCAACAUUUUUUGUACACUCUUUUAACAUUUUUCAUAUACUUGUUCAAUUUUUUUAAAAAUGAUUAAUUAACAUUUUCAUAUACAUCAUCAUAAAAAAUUAUUAUUUUUUAUAUACUUUUAAAACGUGGUCAACAUUUUAUCUAUAAAUAUGUUUAACAUUUUUCAAAUGCUUGAUUAAAAUUUUCAAACAAAUUUUGCAUAUUUUUUCAAAUGCUUGAUUAUCAUUUUAAAAAUAGAUGAUAAAAAAAUUUCAUCAUUUCUGUAAUACAUGAUCAACAAUUUUCUAUAGCCAUUCGGCAUUUUCCUAGUGGUUGAUUAACAUUUUUCAAAUACUUGUUCAAUAUUUCUUAUUACAUGAUCAAAAAUAUUUUGAUACAAAAUCAAUAUUUUCUGAAUUCUUAAUUAAUUUUUUGAAAUACUUGUUAAAUAUUUUUUAAAUACUUGUUGAACAUUUUUCUCAAAAUUUUUUUAUUGAGUGUUUUGCGUAAUAUAUAUAUUUAGAAUAUUUUAGAGUAUCAAUAAAAGUACGCAAUCAAGCAUAAAACGAAAAGAUAAAAAGUAAAGAAAAAGAGAAAAAGAGGCUGUGGCCUCCCGCGCGCGUGAGCUGGCCCAUAUUGCUCGUCCCUUCAGCGGCGGAAGCUCGAGUCAGUGAAGGCGAGAAUUUUUUUUUUGAGACAAGUGAAGGCGAGAUAUAUGGGCACCUGUGCUGUGCUCAAGCCUUGCCAUGGUUUCGAGAGUGGGCCGGCUCAUAUCACGUGUUCUCUUGCACCGCUCUUGCAAAUGGAUAUGAAAAAAAAGUAUUUCUCAAAAAAUAAGAAGAAAAAAACAAAGUAUUUCUCAAAAAAAACAAAGUCUGUGAUUUUUUUGUCGUUUUCGUACGUUUUUCUACUGGGUUAUUGUCUGUUUCUUUUCUUUGCCAUUUUCUUUUUCAAUAUUUGCGAAAUUUUUUCAUAUCCAUGAAUAUUUUUUUCAAAUUCACAACUGUAUUUUGACCUGAUGUAUAUUUAUCAAUGUUUUAAUAUUUUAUACAUUUUGAAAUUCAGGAACAUAUUUUGAAUUUGUUAUUUGUUCAAUUCGUAAAAAAAUGAAAAUUUGAAUUUUUUUAACAAUUCGCUGAUAUUUUUCGAAAUCCAUAAUAGUUUGUUUUUUUACCAUUUUUUUAAAAAAAUCACAGACUUUGUUUCUACUAAAACAACGGACCAGUAGCAGCAGAAAAAGGGGAAAGAAAAGCAGCGUGCAGCGAGCUGAUCGGUGAGCAAACGACGCGAACUGACAAGUCUACUAGGCCGCGGCCUAUGCGCACACCGUGUGUGCGCGAUACCCGCAAGUUAUCUAUACUUAUAUUAUAUAUUAUUAUAUAUAUACUAUUAAAUUAUUAGUAUAUUAUAUAUUUAUAUAUAUAUUACUUCAUCUAUAAACUAAUAUAAGAGCGUUUAGAUCACUACUUUAAUAUUUUAAACGUUCUUAUAUUAGUUUACGGAGAGAGUAUUAAACAAUCAAACUAAUUCUUUUUUAAAGCCACCCCAAUGUACACAGCCUAAUUACCACUAUCAGAUUAGCCCCACUGUAUAAAUUCUAAUGGUUACAAUUAAUUUAAUCUCGAGCUAUGUGUGCAAUUAGCAAUUUUAUAGGACUGAACGCGCUCCACCCGCAGAGGAAUAUUCCACGCGCUUCGUCAACGCGCCUUUCCAAAUCGCAACAACCACGUCCAACUAAAAAAGAAACAAAUCGCAAUUACCAUGUUACCAGGCAGGCGUUCCUUCCCUCCCCUACCUCCUCCCCGUCUCUUCGCCGAUGGAGGGCGCCCCGGGGCGAAUCUAGGGCCAGCCCCAAGGAGGGCGACGGCGGGGCACCUGGUUCCUGUCAGCUUGGCGCAGGCGCGCGACGAGCGCUUGGUGCAGCGGCGCUGAGGCAUGGGCUACGGUGCGCAAGAGCGUCGCCGGCGCGAGUUAUUGCCUGGCUUAACGGUGAGGCUGGCAGGGCACCAUGAUGCGAUCUGACCACCCCCCGCCUUGCUUUCGCCGGAUGCGGCUUCUCUCCACUCCUCAUGCAUCCGCCAUGUCUGCCGAUUCGUCACACGCCCAUGGUAAUAUACUGACUCUUCCUUUCUUCAAUCAACAUUUUUUCUGUUCAGUGAAUUUUGGAGAAGAAGACGUUUCCAUUCGCAAUUGUAAUGCAUGGGAGAAGGAACUGAAGAACAAUACAUGAACUAAUCUCUGUAAAUUUCAUAUUACAUGACGACAGAUGCAUCAAUUUUUAGAUAAAAGUGAAACAAAUCCUACUUAAUUAAUAGAUGCAAAUUACAAGAUAGCAAGACAUGAACUACUUGAUGUGGAUAUGGACAGUAUUAUAGGAUGGACAGUGCAAAUCCUUUGCUUGACUUCCGCGUCCAAGCGAUAUAGGAUGUUCAACAAAUAACAUGACUGGAAUAAACUUUUGGCUCGCUGAACUUUUGAGACCUAACUUACAAAUUUAUAUAUAGUUUGGUAAUAUAUAGAAGAAAUGAACUUUUGGCUUGCUGAGCUUGGUGUUUCUUUUUGCAGCAUGAUGAUUUCAGAAGUACAAUCAAAUGGAAGGCUGGAGGAAGAUUUUUGAAAUGGCAAAGUCGCCAGCAAGGACAUGAGACAUGAGGUAAUAAUCAUUCUUCUAUGUGUUGCCAUCUGCUAUUAGAUUGUACUAUUCUCUUUGCAACAUGAUGAUUUCAGAAGUACAGUCUAUCGUGGUGUUUGUUUUGCUCUUGAGAUAUAUGAAAAUUGGACAUAUAUAUGCAGGUCUGACUUGUUUCUUCAUAGGGGACAAAGGUGUCCUCUUCAUAAUGGUCAGGGACAGAACUUCCAGCUUGACAUAUUUGGGUUUUAACUAUCUCUUUUGUUUUUUGCCUUCACUGUUAUUGCUUUUGUCAGAUAUCUUAUUUCUUAAAGUCAGACUCCAAUGUUUUGUUUUGGAUAUGCGCAUUUCAUAUUAGUCAAGACGUGCAUUGACCAUUGAUCCUUACUUUAGAGGCUUUAGUAAUUACCUCAGUUUUAUACGAUUAACAAGGUAUCAAUAUUCUUCUCCUUCAGCUAUGUAUAGUCAGGAUUCACAAGUAAGGAGAAGAGGCAAGAGGCUAUUGAUGGAAUCAUUUCUUUGUUGUUUGUCUUGUUUCGUGACAUUCAGUAGCAUCAUAAUUAGCAAAUUGUGAGUGAGUUUGCCUGCUUUGCUAUAUUCGGAAGUUCUCUACAUGCAGUGGUUACUGAUUGUGAGGGUCACUAUUUUUAUUUGGUACUUGGGUUGAUUUAGCUGAGAAUGAUUCACAUACUUGAAACUUUUUAUAUAGGACAUGAUAAUAGCAUGUUGGUUAGGGUAAGAAUAUCUUUACUGAUCCCUAUUUGGUUCAGUUGACAUCUUUUAGUACGAUGUAUGUGUAGCACAUCCUUAAAUAUCUGUAGCCUCGAUAUCAUCAGUCAACUAUGUGACGUGCACCUUCUGCUUGAGCAGAUGAACCAGCCACUGCCCUAGAUGUUGCGCCGUGCUCCAGUCCUGUUCUGCUGGUUCUAACCAAGCACAUCAAACCAAGACCGACUGCUCUAUUGUUGUGAUCGGGCAAUACAAUAUUGGUAUAUAUAUAUGCCUUAUAUAGUGCCUUUUUGCAUUACUUUUGUUAUAUCUGUGGACUGUGCACAUGAGUUUCUUCUUAUCUUUACUCAUUAAUUUUCAUUCUAUUUCAAGGUUGGUAGCUUCCCUCAUCUUGGUUCUUGUUUUAGGGUUCAAGCCGAGUGAAUAUUAUUUGUGAUCCAAAUGACNNNNNNNNNNNNNNNNNNNNNNNNNNNNNNNNNNNNNNNNNNNNNNNNNNNNNNNNNNNNNNNNNNNNNNNNNNNNNNNNNNNNNNNNNNNNNNNNNNNNNNNNNNNNNNNNNNNNNNNNNNNNNNNNNNNNNNNNNNNNNNNNNNNNNNNNNNNNNNNNNNNNNNNNNNNNNNNNNNNNNNNNNNNNNNNNNNNNNNNNNNNNNNNNNNNNNNNNNNNNNNNNNNNNNNNNNNNNNNNNNNNNNNNNNNNNNNNNNNNNNNNNNNNNNNNNNNNNNNNNNNNNNNNNNNNNNNNNNNNNNNNNNNNNNNNNNNNNNNNNNNNNNNNNNNNNNNNNNNNNNNNNNNNNNNNNNNNNNNNNNNNNNNNNNNNNNNNNNNNNNNNNNNNNNNNNNNNNNNNNNNNNNNNNNNNNNNNNNNNNNNNNNNNNNNNNNNNNNNNNNNNUGAUGGGUUAAUAUAUUUGCUGUACAGUGUCGAUGAUGCUCUAGGACACCUCCCACAUUAGUUCUCUACUGCAAUCAUUCAACCACCCGACUAGACGGACGUCUUUGUGCUCUCCCACCAUUAUUUAACCUGAUAAAGUCACCCAUAAGCACAGUAUGCCCCAACUUUUUUUCUUUUUCCAAAUUCAUUAAAUUUGGAUUAUCGGUUGUCCUUUACUGCUAUCAAUCCAUGGCAAGAAGUAAUGCAACUAAACUACUUCUCCGAGUUUGGUGGGCAGUAAAUCAAUAGGAUUAUUGCCGCAUAGUUGAUUAUCUGAUGUAAUAGUGUGUUUAUGGUCAGAUAAUUCUCGCACUGGUUAUUUGAAUAAUAAAUGUAGAAUUUGGCGUGUUAUGUACCUCAUCGAGCAAGUACUUGUUCUUGAUAUGCCACCCAUAUAUAUUUUAAGUUAGUUGUUUUAGUUGGACUGAUAAUUUGGUAAUGCAGACAAAACACAUAAUGAUUGGGUACAUUGAAAAGCAUUUUCAAAAGGCAUAGGGUGAUUUACUUCAUGUUAGCAGUAAAAUAACCUUUCACUGUCAUGAUGUCAUCAGUUUACAAAGUGUGCAACCUGCCCUGCAUGCUAAUGUCUCGGUUUUUGUGUGCUACUAUGUUUACUGUCUACGUUGGCGAUGAGGCAGGGAAGGUAAGUGGGGCUAACCUGCUGGCCGGAGUAAAAAUAAUGUCCAAGUUUUUCAUUAAUGUUUGAGGGCGUAUGGUCUUGAUGCUGCUUAAGCUUGGCAUAUGGCUAUCAAUGUAGGUGUUUCUUGAGUCGUUGUCAUCUUCUUCGCCACCGGUUUGGUAACCAUCUCGGCUUCCUUCUCUGCUCCUGCAUAUGUGUCAUGUUUGUAACGAGAAAUGGAGAGCAGGUUAGAGAAGUUAGUAAUUAUUGAUAAUAAUAAUGUGAUGCAGAAAUGCAUGUUAGCUACACAGCUGUUCCCAGUAAGGAAUUAUUUUACAAUAGAAAUGCAUAUAUUGUGGAUUCAUGACUAAACAAGUUUGCAUGCACAUCCCUGAAAAUACAGCAGAGCCUUCAAUCUUGAAGAGUUAUGAAUUCUUCAGGUGUUGCUUUGGAAAUGAAUGUCAUUUGAAUGCUUGCUUAAUGUAGGUGUAUAUGUAAGAUCUGAAACUGAUCAAUACUAUUUCUAAUAUGAAAUUUGGGCAUAUAAGUGGCUCUUAAUUAUAUAUAGAAUUAAAAAUGAAUGUACGGUAGCAGCAUAUGUUCAGGUUGAGGGUACGAAACGACGUGCGUUUCACAUAUAUAAUUGUAAUAUUAGUUGAGAUGUGUGUUGCACGUGCACAUUUACUAGUAGUGCUUAAUAGUGCUUAAAGAGCUGUAGAGGAGCUCUGGCACUGUGCUGCCACUUGGUUUCGGGUUUCCUCUUCGGUGUGUGCCGGAACUGGAAGGUAACACUAGUCAUAGUCGAAAAUGCAAUGGCGUGUUCCUGCUUGCCUGCACACGUUAUCGCGAGGCGUCCAUUCUUGGCGGGAUGCCGGACAGCCGCGGUAUUUCAGGGAUGCAUACGCCGAUCAUUUAAAGUCCAUAAGCUGGACGGAAGAGCCAACGUCUACGGUGCGUGCAGACGGACAAGUAAAGGCCCAGAGAUGGCGUUUGGACACUGUACCAACGAUGGGAUUUGGCAUUAACUACAAUUUAUUUAUUUUCUAUUGUUUGCUAACAACUUCUUCCUAAAUCUAGGAAUGAUUAAUUAAGCCAUUUUAUUUGUUUCCAAUUGCGAGGAUCAAUGCUUCUGAACCAAGACAAUUACUUCCGAAAAAGAUUUGCUUCAUACGAACCGGGAUCAUUUGCUUCCUAUAAUUUUCUUCGCUUCCUAAGAGGUAGUCGUGUGGAAUUUUUUUGUUUGCUUCAUGCACUCUAUUUUACUAAACAAGAACGUUGGUUUCCAAAAAACAUUUUGCUUGGUACGAACCGGGAUUGUUGCUUCUUACAAAAAAAUUGGUACGAACCGGGAUUGUUUGCUUCAUAAAAUUUUCUUUGCCUCCUAAAAAGCUUUCAGUCGUGAGGAUUAUUUUUGUUUGCUUCGUACGCUGUUUUCAAUCGUGGAGCUCCUUGCUUGAAAAACUUCAGUUUGGUUUAUUUUUUGUUUUUGACUGUCCUUGCAGUUCCAACAACUUCAGUUUUAAAAAUAUGUUCCAUGCGACCAGAGGAUUGUUUUCAAGUGCUUGCUCCAACAGAAUUAAAAUUUAUUUCCAUCAGACAUUAGUAAAUUAGAACUUGCUUCAGAAGAAAAUACAGUUUGCUUCAAAGGAAUUCUGAAUUUGCUUCCAUAAGUUGCUUCGAACAACAUGAAUGGAUUAUAUGUUUUUGUCAUCUCUACACAAUACAAGUCACAACCGAGAGAGGUCGCGCAUCCUUCCAUGUCCAGAUUGUCUAAGCAUUUUUCACUCUCUCCCAUACUGAUUGGUGGUCCAACUUGACUUUGAUGGCAAAAGGAAGAGUAGAACCAUCGAAUUCAAAAAAUGUUCAUGAUUUUAUAGAAUGUUUGAAAAUCUGUAAAAAUGUUCACGAAUUUGAAAAAUGUUCACAGUUUCAGAUAUGUCCACGAGUUAAAAAAAUCAUGGUUUUCAAAAAUUGUUCAUGAUUUCACGAAAAUGAGAGUGAUAGUGUAUCUUGGUGAUGCAGAAAAAUGUGGUCAUGGCCAUUGAACAUUAUGAUUUUUAUUCUUCCGUCGCAAUGCACGGGCCGUUUUGCUAUAACUACAAAAGAACGACAAAUUUGGAGUGUCGGAUUUUCGUUACAUCGAUGACGAAGGAAUGGUCUGGAGUCUUAACAAAUUAUAGAAACAAAGCGUCUCCCACUAGGUGUCAUUAGCGAAUUGAGGUAUUUAUGUAGCUCAUACGCACUAUACCUGUAGGUUAAGUUUGCAUUGUGCGAUGUGUGUAUUUAGCAGUCACUAGUAAGCGUGCACGUGCAACGCACGUAUCAUAAUCUAUAACCACUACAUCUACUUUUUAGUUAUUUAUUUACUGAGUCAUUUAAGAUAUCUUUCAUAAAGUAUUCCAUGAAAUUUAACAUCUAGAGAGCACAAGAUGACCUGCACGAUUAAGAAAUUUGAUAGGUUCACUAACAGAUCAAUAAAAAUCUGAAUACUUUUAUAAAAUUAUCAAUAUGGUCAGAAGUGAACGUUUAUUUAAACCAUUGUGUCUGUGUUAAAAGAAUCAAGCCACACAGCCAAAUCGGACAUGUCCAGAAAAAAUGAAACUGGACAACGUCCACCACUAAAUAUAGACAAAAUGACCAAAAGGGUAAUUGAUAAACAAAAAUUGGACAACGCCCUAUAUUUAUUUUGAAACUGCUUUGUGGACGAAACUACACACAUGAAAUACAGCAACACACAUACCCAACGGAUGGACUGGUGCUGCUGCCGUGCAUGGAUGGUGUGAUCUUUAGAGCAUUUAUAGUCGGGCACCCAAAACCCCUCUAAAAUGCCCGGACGGCCACUUGGUCACUGAUCGGUCACAAAAUUUUGACCCAGCCGGGCGCCUUAAACAGGGCUCAAACGUCUGGGCUGACCGGCAUCCCACAUAUCCAACCCAAAUAUGGGGCGGAUAUGGGGGCUCCGGGCGCGCCCACCACAUCGGACUGACGGAGGGGUCCCAUGCGGAUUUCACAGUAGAAACCCGGCAGUCCGAAACUCGUCUCCUCCGUUGGACCGAUGGCGCUGCAUGGCUCCACUCCGGCGGGCCGCGUAGUGCCUACCCCGACUAUUUAAGUCGACCGGCGACCCCCAACCCUAGCCCAUCCACCUCGUCCCUCACCCGAGUCCUUCCGCGUCCUCUCACACGCUCUUCGGUAUCGCCAUGGUCCGACGCAAGAUCACGACGUACGUUAUGCUGAUGCGGACCGCCGGAGGCAGAUCGCGGAGGAGAUCUUCGCCCGCAUUGCUGUCGGGCUGCCUCCAGACUCAUCAGAGGAACAGGAGGAGGAGGAGCAGUAGGAGCCGAAGGAGGAGGGAGAGAAGCUACCGGAGCCGAUGGAACUGGCGGAUCUGGAGGAGGAGGAGGAGGCGGAGCAACCUGCUCCAGGGUUCGACAUGGCGGAGACGGAGUUCGCCAUCGCCCAAGCCGUUGAGAUGGCGGAGCAGCAUGCCAACCCGGAGUCCAUCUAGGAUGAGGCCUAUGUAGAGGCCAACUGGAACUUCCUCCGACAGGAGCAAGCAGCGUCUGACGCGUUCUUCACCGAACUUGACAGGGAGAUAGAGGAGGAGGCCGGAGCGGAGUAGCUGGAGGCGUCGGAGCUGGAGCUGCCGCCAAUGUAUCCGGAGCCGGGCACGGAGAUUGCCGACAUGACGAGUAGUAGCUAGAUCAUCUACGUAGUACGUAGGUUUCUAGUUUGCAUGCUUUUGUAUGGAUUUGAUAAUGUAGUAUGCGAUGACUGAAUGUAAUUGUGUUAAUUUGAAGGGUAACUGUUUAGUGUCCGCGGAUGCUUUCGGGUCUGUCACAGAAAACAUUUUUCACUCUCUCUGUCAGGACCCCGAUUCUAAGUCACAUCGAUCUAGCCUGUAACACCUCAUAUCACUUUGCGGCCUCACGCACGGUAUUCCCACGGGUGUCGCCUUACCAUGGCCCGGGACCGUUUGCGCCUUUUGGCUCACGUAUAUGAUAGUGUCGCUAGCAUCCAUAUGACAGAGAAUCCGGGCUGACAUGACUAGUCGUGAACCCAAAGUGGCACUAACUUACGGGGACAGGCAUACAUGAAUCAACAUCGAGCAUGUCGGUCAGCAACGUGCGAAUCUGGGCUAUAGCACUGGGCUAACAGGAUUCCGGUGAACCAGGCUGUAGCAGACUAGGCAGGAGUCCGGAUGUCACCGCGUGACAUUUCCCCGAAGGGACAGACAUAGGAACGAAGUGAAUCACAUGCCGGCCAGUCAAGUGUUCCGGAGCAGUAGUGCUGGGCUAGCAGGACUCCGGUGAACCGGGCUAUAGUGGACUACUAUGGCUUAUGGAAGCACAAGACUACAUUUCCCCAUAAGAGCGGCUACCAAGGAUAAACAACUAGGUUGUCGGAUCCCACACAUACCAAGCAUUUCAAUCAUAUACACAAUAUGCUCGAUAUGUGGGAAUACAACAUGGCAUCACAACAUAACUCUACGACUCAAGUAUUUAUUCAUUAGGCUCCGAAGAGCCAGAUAUUACAGACAUGGGUCUCAUGACCCAACAUUCAGAGCAUACCAGACAAAGCACAUGCGGAAGCUUAACAUGUCUGAGUACAGACUUCUACAAAUGAAAAAGGCUGAGAAGCCUGACUAUCUACAAGACCCUGCCGAGGGCACAAGAUCGUAGCUGAGGUAACAAGCUAAACGUCGAAGUCCACGUGGAACUACUAGCGAGACUGACGUCUGUCUGCAAAAAACAUAAAAUAGGCAAACAUGAGUACAAAUGUACCCAUCAAGACUUAACAUCAGAACUGACUACAUAUGCAUCGGUAUCAACAAAGAGGGGUAGUGGAGUUUAAUUGCAGCAAGCCAGCUUUGACUAAGUGGCUAACCUGAACUAUGACUGCAAGCAACUCUUUUGAGGUGGCGCACACGAGUAAACAUAUUCACCAUACCAAUACACCACUAUGGAUCCGCCCCCGUCUCCCUGCGAGAACACCAUCCAUAGCACUCACACUUAUCUUGCGCAUUUUAGAGUAUCUACUUUCACUUGUCUAUGAACUAUGCAAGGGGUCCAAGUAUCCAUAUCCGAGGAAUCCAGCUAUUCGAAUAGAUAAUGAUAACCCUGCAGGGGUGUACUUCUUCACACACGCUCUCGCCACUUACCACCAUGUACACAUCGUGUAUCUCGGCAACCUUCAAGCGGAAUCCUGGCGAGGGAGUCGGCCAUGACCUGACUAACCGACAAGUCUCUAGUCCAGGUUCAUCGCCUAUUCGGGUUCCAUCCGCAAGGAGAUUCGGCCGGGGUGUCGCUCACGGCCCCAAACGAUGUGAGCAGGGUUCCCAAGCCCACCAUCUGGGUGCCACUUGGUACACCGUGCCACUGUGCCUAGUCUGUCCCAAGCCCACCUGUACCGGGUGCCACUUGGUAGACUACUUACACUACCUACAAACACCAGAAACUAGUUGCAACUCCUGGACAGAGAUCAGGUUGAUUAAUAAGUUGAGAGGGGCACUUAAGCAUUCCAAUGUGUGGUAGUAACAGUUCAUGGAUCACCAAACACAGAACUCAGUUCCUGAGGACGGCUGCAAUGAGACAACCCACCAUGUACUCCUACAUGGCCUCUCACCGCUACCUUUACCAAAUCGUGUUCACACACUUAGCUCACACACAGUAGGACAUGUUCAUCACCAUUCCAAUUCAUCCCCGAUGAAUCAGACCUGACUCAACUCUAAGCAGUAGCAGGCAUGACUAACAAACAUGAAUGAGUAGGCACACCAGGGCUCAAACAAUUCCUACUCAUGCUAGUGGGUUUCAUCUAUUUACUGUGGCAAUGACAGGUCAUGCAGGGAAAAAGGGUUCAGCUACCGCAGCAUGUAACCGUUGAAACGUUGUUGUCCUAAUGCAGUAAAAGAGAGCAGGAGCGAGAGAGUGGGAUUGUAUCGGAAUGAACAAGGGGGUUUUGCUUGCCUGGCACUUCUAAAGAUAGUAUAGCUCUUCAUCGGUGUCAUCGAAUUCAUCGCUGGAUCAACGUCUACUGAGGGGGGACAAAGACCGGCAACUGAGAAAGAGCACAAUCAACACAUGACGAUAUCCAACAAUAUGAUGCAUGCUAUGACAUGGCAAUAUGAAUGUGUUUUUGGCUAAUGCAAGCUAGAACAUAUUGGAAUGAGUCCAUUUGAACCAAAGAUUCAAAUGCAAACCCAUUUUAUGAAGUCAUAUUAGUGCAUUAACUUUUUUCACCUAAAGAGUAAGGUUAAAGUGUUCUAACAUGCAUGAAACUAGUACAGAUGAAAAUAUUGGAUUUUUCUGAUCAUUUUUCAUAUAUAAAUUAUUUCAUUCUGAGCUAUGGUUGAAUUUCUAUGAUUUUUAGAAGUUUGGGGUAUUUUCUGAAAUUUAUAAAUCAUUUCUGAUUUAUUUUAAUUCCAGAAAACUUUACUGCGUCAACAUUAAGUCAUGCUGGCAUCAGCUGGUCAACAGGACCGUCUAGGUCAAACCUGACAGGUGUGGCCCACCUGUCAUUGACUCAGUGCUAACCAGGGUUUAGUUAAAUCCUAACUAAAGUAAUUAGAAGGGAUGGGGCCCACAGUCAGCGAGUUAGUGGGUUAUCUAAAAUUUAAUUAGCAUCUAAACUAAAUUAUCAGGGCCUCGGGCCCACAUGUUAAUGACCCAGAGGGGUCAAACCCUGGUCAACCCGGGUCAAACUCGCCGGAGUUGACCCGGCGCUCAUCGCCGGCAAGGCCAGAGACGACGGAGGGGCUCGGGAUUCCUCCUCCGGUGACCAAAUGGCCGACGGAGGGCACCUACGCGGAGCUGGGACUCGCUCGCAUCCAUCUGUGCAAACGGCAGGGGCUGAGGUGGCUCGAGCUCGCCGAAGGCAAGCUCGCGGCAGUGGCCGGAGUUCGGGUGUGGACAUGGUCGACGCUACGGGGCGCUAGGGGGAUAAACUGGCAGGUGCUACGCACUCUUGGGGGUUCACCGAGCACGGUGACGUGCUUAGGCGCGGGCUGCGCUGGCCCUGGCCACAGCGGUGAAGAACCAUGGCAGUGGUGAGGUUUCGGCUCCGGUGGACAGCAGGGAGAGAGGGGUUCGGUAGAGGAGCUCACGGCGGGGUCAUCGGUGAUCUCAGCGUGCUCGGGGAUGGCAUGGUGAUGACGAAUCGGUCGACGACGGCCGUCGGUGCAGAGGGCGAAGAUGGCGUCGACGACGGCGCUCCAGGGCGUUCGAAGUCAUGUGGCUCGGCGGAGAGGACCGGGGCGUCACGGUGGAGCUCGGGGGCGCGUCGGAGAGGCUCGGAGAUGGCUGUGGCCGUGGGGGAGCUCGUCGGCGGCGACGGCUUCGUUCGGUCGCGCUCGUGGAAGGAACUAGAGGGCGAAGGAGAGAGCAGAGAGUGAGGGAGAGGAGAGAGGGGAUUCCAGGGGGGGUGCGUGGCAUCGUAUGGAGUCGUCCAGGGCGUCGGCAGAAGCAGGAGGUGGCCGGCGUGCGAUGGGCACACGCCCUCUGCCUACUGGUAGAGGUGGAAGAAGACCUCGGCGCCCUUGGUGGGCUGGGCCAAUUCUCUCCUGGGCCAGGUUAGUAGGUAAGAUUCUGCUCUAUUUUAUUUUUCUGUUCUGUUUUCUUUUCUAUUUUUGCUAUUAUGUUUUGAUUUAGUUCAAAGACCAAACCAUUUUCAAAAUCCAUGAAAAUAAUUGUGUGAACUAAAUGGACUUCUCCAAAGCUACACAACAAUUUUCAGAAUUAUUGAACAUAUAUUAAUUAUAUAAUAAAUAUAAAUCCAAUUCAAAUAGUUAUUGAAUUAAUUUCAAAUGCCCAAAAUAAAUAUUUCUAAAACUCCAAAAAUAUUGGUUUGAAUUUUACCUCUUGCCAAUAUUUUUACGAAUAACAGGAAUAUUUCCUUGGACUCAUUUGAAAAUAUUUUUAACAUUGAUUAUUUCUGAAGUGAUUUCUGAGGGUUUCAACUAACCUCAAUUCAACUUUCAGAAUUUAGACAUGAUGCAUGGAUGCUCUCUUAUGCAACUAUUGCAAACAAUUCUAGGGAUGUGACAACCCACCCCCACUAAACAAGAAUCUCAUCCCGACAUUCAAGAUGUGAAGUAAGAAGACAGAGGGGUCACAAAACUAUCACAGUCUUCUUGAUCCAACUGCCCUUCUCAAAGAUACCAAUACAUUGCAUCUCAUUGAUCUUGACGUCUUUGAUUUCGAGAUCUUCAUCCAACACGAUGAUGACGGAAGGAAACUCUACAUGAAACGAUCUUCUCAAAGAUCGAGCAACUCAAGAUCAACUCAUGGAGUGAGACAUUGAAACAUCUCUUGAGCUGAGACACAAAACACACAUCGAGAGAGAUGGGAGGUAAUAGAGGACAAAGGUUCAAAUUGGUAGGCAACAAUUCCACGCUGGAGUAGGAUGGUGCAUGGUUUCAAGUAGCGAGGAGGUAAUUGCCAUGAUUCCAUAACGGGACACCUUAGGGAAAGGUGACUCGUAGAGCUAUUCCCUUAAGUGGCAAAAAGAAUUACUUUUGAUACAAAGAUCAUUGAAACUCUUUAUACCAGCCUGAGGUAAUCACAGUCGAUCAUUGGAAGGGGUACGAAAGAAUGGCAUACUCUGGCUAGGAUGGAUGAUGUGGACUACCUUGUUGAAGACAACGUAAUGGAUGAUUUUGCUUAUCAUCGGAGAUGGAUGGGACCCAUGGUAAGCCCACUUUUGAAAAUGAUCCUGGACAACAAAAAUGCAAAUGCUGGGAAUGACCCAACCAUCAUACCUGCCCGAGAUUCAGAUCUGGUUGGUAACAGGAUAUUUCAGACAACAUGUCUGGAAAAGAAAGGUAGCAACACAAAUCGACGGGAUGGCGUUGCGAGAUUCUCGAGAAUGAACUACGAUAGCAAGCUCCAAAACAUGAGCUGGUUCUGCUACAAACAUGUGAACACGCUGUCCCAGACAAGCAUGAUCACGUAGUAGUCUUAUAAUAAAACAGUACCGAGUUCAGGUGGGGAACCAUCUUCAAGGAUAUUGGAAUUCUGUGCAUGAACUAGUAUUCGCAUAGCAAGUCCUUUUCCUCGAACAAACUAGUCAGUGGCUUGGUGUGCUAGGAACACAUAUGGAGUGGAGGCGGCCAACCUAUCAAACCAUAUAGCACCUUGCACGUGCAUGACUAACUUGGGAUGGUUCCAAAGGAGGCAGAAACAAACUUUCCCGAGUUCAUGGCGGCAACUUGCAUCAUAUGCACAUGAAUUAGAGGAAGUCACUUCUUUCAUCCAACAUAUGCUUCAUGAAUAGGACAUGGAGAUAAUGCUUAUAAAAGUUUCCAACACUAACAUAGAUGUCCAACAUGAAUCAUGGGUAAAAUGGAAAUAUUGCUGAUGGGAUCAACAACAGGUCAUCCAGAUUUCCAUGAAGAUGGAAUUCCACAACUAUGUGAACAAAGCGAUAGCAUUGGUCAGACCCAAAGGAUAUAAUGGUGUAUGCUCGAGGAAACAACCACGAGUAAGACAACAUUACGAAUAUCGUUGGUUCUGAUUUGAUCUGACGAUAGCCCACACUCAAAUCAAGGUUUGGAUAAGAUGAUAGGUCCAUUAACUGAUCACGAGGAUCAAUCGAUGAAAUACCAUCUUUCUUCAACACAGAUACAAGAUAUCCCUUAGGGAUGAGCUAGGUCGGACAAGCUUUUAUCUUCCAACUCUCCAAGUUGUUGUCUAGCUUAACCAACAAGCUCAAGGGUAUGCAACACAGAUUCCUGGAGAAGGAUUGGUUACAAGAAACCAACUUGACCACGAGCUCAACAUAGCGGUCAGGGGAUAACCUGGAAAUACUUCCGAGAAGAUAUUCGGAAAAUCACGAACCACCGACAUGUUACUAAGCUCGAGAUCAAUCUUGCUCUUUAGGCAAGAUUAUAUGAUCAAAUAAGCAAGGAUAGACAUAAUCCCAACUCUUGAUCGAAGAGUGCACCAGGAAAAUGGACUAGGUAGCACGAUCAAUCUUAGAUUGAUGAUUCCAUAAUCAACACACCAAGAAUGAGAUUAUCGUCCAUUAACCACCAAGCAACGGGGUUGCUAGGAGUAUUGAUUUCACAAUCACGGUUCACUUGUCGGUAUUCCGGUUGUAACAACACGGAACCGAGGAACGAAUGAUGAUGGCGAGAAGUAUCACUGCAUCAAGAAUUCAUAAGAGUUGGUGCAAUUCUCAUGACAUUCCUGACAUCAAGAGGGCAAUACUUCAGGGUAGAACAGAAUCAAAAGCUGGAUUGGCAUUUUGACCUGCGGAAUACAACUUCUUUGACCCAAUCCUAAAUAUGGAUGAGGUACUGGAGUUUGUUUCUCCUAGUCAUUCCAGAAUAGAAUGGCUUGACAGACCACAAGAAUAAGAGGUAUCGAUGAGCAUGAAUGCAAGACAUGCUCUUAACUAUCAAGUGAUAGACGGAGAUCAAGAUACAACUAAAGAGAGGGACAACUCAAAGGAACGUAUUAACUUUCUGAGUUGUGGAUGCCUAGAUUAGUGUGUCGAACCAAGUUCAACAUAUUUCUUCCGGAUAAUCCAUGCAAAGAAGGUAGAACUAGCAAAGUCACAUCAUAGAAUCGAGAACUCGUCAAGAGCACUCUUAUUGUGAUCUUUUGGUUCAACGACUUCCGCCAAGGAUGGUUCAUGGUAUUAGGAAGAAUGAUAUAUCACGGACCUCGAGGACUAUCACAAGGUUACUAAUAUCCAAAAGGAACUAGCAAACAAUAUCAACAAGAAGUAAGUAGGGUGGAUCUCGGGUUCAAGAACCCAGGUAUAGAAUACCUACUACUAAGUAGCAUCACGGGAUGCUCUCGAGAAUGGUGGCCAGAAUCAUCACACUGGGAACACAAAACAUGGCUAGAUUACUAGGUGACUCCCUAAAACACCUAGGGUCAUAAUAAUAGCUCCAACAUAUAUGUUGAGGCAACAGAGUACCUCAACUCACCGAUUAGUAUGAUUAAUCUGGCCCAAAUGGACAUCAGGAACAUGGAGGAAUGAUUGCAAGUGCAUCAGACUAUCUAGAAACCUGGGAUGACUCGGAUAGCAUAACAGCUGUAAAUGCCAAAAAUGAUUUGAGACAUCCUGCAAAAAUGGUGGUAUAACCACUCAACAACACAAUAUCAAGGUUCUGAGGCCAGCUAUGAACAUAUGGAAGUAGUAGGAACUGAACUGAGGCUUGAACUCAACAAUCCUAGGCAACUACGGUUUAGUAACACGUCAUCAUGAGAGAUAGAGGAGAAGCCUAGUUCUUAACCCCGUAGAAAAGAUAAGAUGACUCAAAUCAGAAGGUCAUGAGGAUAAGGAGUAAAAGAGCCUUACGUUCCCUUCCACAAUCAAUUCCCUUACAUAACUAAAGCAUUUCUAGACUCGACUUCGAUCGAUUUGUCUUGGUAAUCCUACAGGCAGUAAGACUCUGAUACCAAAGCUGUCAGGACCCCGAUUUUAAGUCACACCGAUCUAGCCUGUAACACCUCAUAUCACUUUGCGGCCUCACGCACGGUAUUCCCACGGGUGUCGCCUUACCAUGGCCCGGGACCGUUUGCGCCUUUUGGCUCACGUAUAUGAUAGUGUCGCUAGCAUCCAUAUGACAGAGAAUCCUUGCCAACAUGACUAGUCGUGAACCCAAAGUGGCACUAACUUACGGGGACAUGCAUACAUGAAUCAACAUCGAGCAUGUCGGUCAGCAGCGUGCGAAUCCGGGCUGUAGCACUAGGCUAACAGGACUCCGGUGAACCGGGCUGUAGCAGGCUAGGCAGGACUCCGGAUGUCACCGCGUGACAUUUCCCUGAAGGGAUAAACACAGGAACAAAGUGAAUCACAUGCCGGCCAGUCAAGUGUUCCGGAGCAGUAGUGCUGGGCUAGCAGGAUGAUACGUCUCCAACGUAUCUAUAAUUUUUGAUUGCUCCAUGCUAUACUAUCUACUAUUUUGGAAUAUAUUGGGCUUUAUUUUCCACUUUUAUAUUAUUUUUGGGACUAACCUAUCAACCGGAGGCAACUUUCUCUAUCCACAAGAUCCCAUCUUGGGGCCUGUUCCGGAGCUCCGUCGGAAGAGGGCCGUCAUCACGGAGGGCUUCUACAUCAUCAUAGCCCCUCUGAUGAAGUGUAAGUAGUUUACCUCAGACCUUCGGGUCCAUAGUUAGUAGCUAGAUGGCUUCUUCUCUCUCUUUGAAUCUCAAUACAGAGUUCUCCCCCUCUCUUGUGGAGAUCUAUUCGAUGUAAUCUUCUUUUUGCGGUGUGUUUGUUGAGACCGAUGAAUUGUGGGUUUAUGAUCAAGUCUAUCUAUGAAUAAUAUUUGAAUCUUCUGUGAAUUCUUUUAUGCAUGAUUGGUUAUCUUUGCAGGUCUCUUCGAAUUAUCCGUUUGGUUUGGCCAACUAGAUUGGUAGUUCUUGCCAUGGGAGAAGUGCUUAGCUUUGGGUUCGAUCUUGCGGUGUCCUUACCCAGUGACAGAAGGGGCAGCAAGGCACGUAUUGUAUCGUUGCCAUCGAGGAUAACAAGAUGGGGUUUAUUUCAUAUUGCAUGAAUUUAUCUCUCUACAUCAUGUCAUCUUGCUUAAGGCGUUACUCUGUUUUUAACUUAAUACUCUAGAUGCAUGAUGGAUAGCGGUCGAUGAGUGGAGUAAUAGUUGUAGAUGCAGAAUCGUUUCGAUCUACUUGUCACGGACGUGAUGCCUAUAUACAUGAUCAUGCCUAGAUAUUCUCACAAUUAUGCACAAUUCUAUCAAUUGCUCAACAGUAAUUUGUUCACCCACCAUAGAAUACUUAUGCUCUUGAGAGAAGUCACUAGUGAAACCUAUGGCCCCCGGGUCUAUUCUCAUCAUAUCAAUCUUCAUCACUUUUAUAUUGUUUUGCUAUUUACUUUGCCUUUACUUUUUGCUUUGCAUCUUUAUAUCAAAAAUACCAAAAAUAUUCUAUCUAUCAGAUCUCACUCUCGUAAGUGACCGUGAAGGGCUUGACAACCCCUAAUCGCGUUGGUUGCGAGUAGCUUUCGCUUUGUGCAGGUACGAGGGACUUGAGCGUGGGCUCCUACUGGAUUGAUACCUUGGUUCUCAAAAACCGAGGGAAAUACUUACGCUACUCUGCUGCAUCAUCCCUUCCUCCUCGGGGAAAACCAACGCAAGCUCAAGACGUAGCAAGAAGGAUUUCUGGCGCCGUUGCCGGGGAGUCUACGCAAAAGUCAACAUACCAAGUACCCAUCACAAUCCCUAUCUCUCGCAUUACAUUAUUUGCCAUUUGCCUCUCGUUUUCCUCUCCCCCCAAUUCACCCUUGCCGUUUUAUUUGCCCUCUCUCUCUAUCCUCCCUCUCUGUUUGCCUCUUUUUGUCUGCUUGCUUUUUGUUUGCUCGUGUGUUAGAUUGCUUGUUUGUCGCGAUGUCUCAACCAAGAUUUGGUGAUCUUCACCUUAAAAGGUUAGAGGAGAUCGAAAACAACGUUAGGAACUUUAUGGUUUUGCAAUUGAGCAUAAUAAUUUCUUUAGAAACGAACUUAAAGAACAAAAAAGUUAUAUGAGUUAUAUGAAUAAAGAGCUUGAUGAUAUAUCUAAAGAAUUUGAGGGUAUAAGAUCCUAGACUGCUCGUCUAGAGAAGAUGACUACUGAAAUUUCGGAUAUGCAAUCCACCUUAGUCAAUAAGAUGGCCGCUAAACCGAAUACCUAUGAAAAUCAAGAUGAAGAUCUAAAAGUUAUUGAUGUGUCUCGUAUUACAUCUUUAUUUUGCAAUAUGAAUCUUGAUGAAACUGAAUAUGAUCUUCCUUUACCUAGAAGGUGUUCUAAAAAUUCGGAGUGUUUAGAUCUUAAUGAUGAAAUUGAUGAAAGUGGGAUGGAAAGAAAUAAAAAUCUAAAUGUUGCUAAACCCACUAUAUUGGAUUUCAAGGAAUUUAAUUAUGAAAAUUGCUCUUUGAUUGAUUGUAUUUCCUUGUUGCAAUCCGUGCUAAAUUCUCCACAUGCUUAUAGUGGAAAUAAAGCCUUCACCGAACAUAUUGUUGAUGCCUUGAUGAAAUCUUAUGAAGAAAAACUUGAGUUGAAAGUUUCUAUCCCUAGAAAACUCUAUGAUGAGUGGGAACCAAAUAUUAAAAUUAAAAUUAAAGAUCAUGAGUUUUAUGCUUUGUGUGAUUUGGGUGCUAGUGUCUCUACUAUUCCCAAGACUUUGUGUGAUUUACUAGAUUUCCGUAAUUUUGAUGAUUGCUCUCUAAACUUGCAUCUUGCGGAUUACACUAUUAAGAAACCUAUGGGAAGAAUUAAUGAUGUUCUUAUUGUUGCAAAUAGGAAUUAUGUGCCCAUAGAUUUCAUUGUUCUUGAUAUAGAUUGCAAUCCUUCUUGCCCUAUUAUUCUUGGUAGACCUUUCCUUAGAACGGUUGGUGCGAUUAUUGAUAUGAAGGAAGGGAAUAUUAGAUUUCAACUUCCAUUAAAAAAGGGCAUGGAACACGUUCCAAGAAAGAAAAUAAAAUUACCAUAUGAAACUAUCAUAAAAGCCACUUAUGGAUUGCCUACCAAAGAUGGCAAUACCUAGAUCUAUUCUUGCUUGUUAUGCCUAGCUAGGAGCAUUAAACGAUAGCGCUUGUUGGGAGGCAACCCAAUUUUAUUUUUGUUCCUUGCUUUUUGAUCCUGUCUAGUAAUAAAUAAAUUAUUUAGCUUCUGUUUUGGUUGUGUUUUUUGUGUUUAAUUAGCGUUUGUGCCAAGUAGAACCGUUGGGAAGACUUGGGGAAAGUCUUGUUGAACUUGCUGUAAAAAACAGAAACUUUAGCGCUCACGAGAACUGCUGUCAUUUUUAUUUGAAGAGUGCUAUUUAGUUAAAUAUUUUUGCAGAUGAUUAAUAGAUGAAUUCCUCACGUCCAGCAAUUUAUUUUAGAAGUUUUGGGGUUCCAGAUCUUGCGCUAGCUACAGACUACUACAGACUGUUCUGUUUUUGACAGAUUCUGUUUUUCGUGUGUUGUUUGCUUAUUUUGAUGAAUCUAUCGCUAGUAAAAUAGUUUAUAAUCCAUAGAGAAGUUGGAAUACAGUAGGUUUAACACCAAUAUAAAUAAAGAAUGAGUUCAUUACAGUACCUUGAAGUGGUCUUUUGUUUUCUUUCGCUAACGGAGCUCACGAGUUUUCUAUCUUGAGUUUUGUGUUGUGAAGUUUUCAAGUUUUGGGUGAAUUCUUUUGAUGGAUCAUGGAACAAGGAGUGGAAAGAUCCUAAGCUUGGGGAUGCCCAUGGCACCCCCAAGAUAAUCCAAGGACACCAAAAAGUCAAAGCUUGGGGAUGCCCCGGAAGGCAUCCUCUCUUUUUCGUCCACUUCCAUCGGUAAUUUACUUGGAGCUAUAUUUUUAUUCACCAACAUGAUAUGUGUUUUGCUCGGAGCAUCUUGUAUUAUUUGUGUAUUUGUCUGUUAGUAUGCCACAAUCAUCCUUGCUGUACACACCUUUUGAGAGAGCCAUACAUGAAUUAAAAUUUGAUAGAAUACUCUAUGUGCUUCACUUAUAUCUUUUGAGCUAGAUAAUUUUGCUCUAUGUGCUUCACUUCUAUCCUUUGAGCUAGAUAAUUUUGCUCUAUGUGCUUCACUUAUAUCCUUUGAGCUAGAUAGUUUUACUCUAUGUGCUUCACUUAUAUCUUUGGAGCUAGAUAAUUUUGCUCUAUGUGCUUCACUUAGAUCUUUUAGAGCACGGUGGUGGAUUCGUUUUAAAGAAACUAUUGAUCUCUCAUGCUUCACUUAAAUUAAUUUGAGAGUCUCUUAAUAGCAUGGUAAUUUGCCUAAUAAUAAUAUGCUUGGUAUUCAAGAUUUGUGAAACUUUCUUUUGAGUGUGUUGAAUACUAAGAAAAGAUUGAAGCAUGAUAAUUGUUUUGAGAUAUGGAGGUGAUAAUAUUAAAGUCAUGCUAGUUGAGUAGUUGUGAAUUUAAAGAAUACUUGUGUUGAAGUUUGUGAUUCCCGUAGCAUGCACGUAUGGUGAACCGUUAUGUGAUGAAGUCGGAGCAUGAUUUAUUUAUUGAUUGUCUUCCUUAUAAGUGGCGGUCGGGGACGAGCGAUGAUCUUUUCCUACCAAUCUAUCCUCCUAGGAGCAUGCGCGUAAUACUUUGCUUUGAUAACUUCUAAAUUUUUGCAAUAAGUAUAUGAGUUCUUUAUGACUAAUGUUGAAUCCAUGGAUUAUACACACUCUCACCCUUCCACCCUUGCUAGCCUCUCUAAUACCGCGCACCUUUCGCCGGUAUCAUACACCUACCAUAUACCUUCCUCAAAACAGCCACCAUACCUACCUAUUAUGGCAUUUCCAUAGCCAUUCCAAGAUAUAUUGUCAUGCAACUUUCCACCAUCUAGUUCAUCAUGACACAUCCAUCAUUGUCAUAUUGCUUAGCAUGAUCAUGUAGUUGACAUAGUAUUUGUGGCAAAGCCACCAUUCAUAAUUCUUUCAUACUUGUCACUCUUGAUUCAUUGCAUACCCCGGUACACCGCCGGAGGCAUUCAUAUAGAGUCAUACUUUGUUUUAUUAUCGAGUUGUAAUCAUUGAGUUGUAAAUAAAUAGAAGUGUGAUGAUCAUCAUUCAAUAGAGCAUUGUCCCAAAAAAAGAGAAAGGCCAAAAAAAAGAAGGCCCCCAAAAAAUAUAUAAAUAAAUAAAUAAGGGGCAAUGCUACUAUCCUUUUUUUCCACACUUGUGCUUCAAAGUAGCACCAUGAUAUAGCAAGUCUCAUAUAUUGUGCUUCAAAGUAGCACCAUGUUCUUCAUAUAGAGAGUCUCAUAUAUUGUCACUUUCAUAUACUAGUGGGAAUUUUACGUUAUAGAACUUGGCUUGUAUAUUCCAAUGAUGGGCUUCCUAAAAUUGCCCUAGGUCUCCGUGAGCAAGAAAGUUGGAUGCACACCCACUAGUUUCUUUAAUUGAGCUUUCAUACAUUUAUAUCUCUAGUGCAUCCAUUGCAUGGCAAUCCCUACUCACUCACAUUGAUAUCUAUUGAUGGGCAUCUCCAUAGCCCAUUGAUACGCCUAGUUGAUGUGAGACUAUCUUCUCCUUUUUGUCUUCUGCACAACCAGCAUUCUAUUCCACCUAUAGUGCUAUAUCCAUGGCUCACGCUCAUGUAUUGCGUGAAGAUUGAAAAAGUUUUGAAAAAGUUAGACUAUGAAAUAAUUGCUUGGCUUGUCAUCGGGGUUGUGCAUGAUUUAAAUACUUUGUGUGGGGAAGAUGGAGCAUAGCCAGACUAUAUGAUUUUGUAGGGAUAACUUUCUUUGGCCAUGUUAUUUUGAGAAGACAUAAAUUUCUUUGUUAGUAUGCUUGAAGUAUUAUUAUUUUCUAUGUCAAUAUAAAAUUUUGUCUUGAAUCUUUCUAAUCUGAAUAUUCAUACCACAAUUAAGAAGAUUUGCAUUGAAAUUAUGCCAAGUAGCACUCCGCAUCAAAAAUUCUCUUUUUAUCAUUUACCUACUCGAGGACGAGCAAGAAUUAAGCUUGGGGAUGCCUGAUACGUCUCCAACGUAUCUAUAAUUUUUGAUUGCUCCAUGCUAUAUUAUCUAUUGUUUUGGACUAUAUUGGGCUUUAUUUUCCACUUUUAUAUUAUUUUUGGGACUAACCUAUUAACAGGAGGCCCAGCCCACAAUUGUUGUUUUUUUGGGACUAACCUAUUAACUCGUCAAGAGCACUCUUAUUGUGAUCUUUUAGUUCAACGACUUCCGCCAAGGAUGGUUCAUGGUAUUAGGAAAAAUGAUAUAUCAAGGACCUCGAGGACUAUCACAAGGUUACUAAUAUCCAAAAGGAACUAGCAAACAAUAUCAACAAGAAGUAAGUAGGGUGGAUCUCGAGUUCAAGAACCCAGGAAUAGAAUACCUACUACUAAGUAGCAUCGCGGGAUGCUCUCGAGAAUGGUGGCCAGAAUCAUCACACUAGGAACACAAAACAUGGCUAGAUUACUAGGUGACUCCCUAAAACACCUAGGGUCAUAAUAAUAGCUCCAACAUAUAUGUCGAGGCAACAGAGUACCUCAACUCAUCGAUUAGUGUGAUUAAUCUGGCCCAAAUGGACAUCAGGAACAUGGAGGAAUGAUUUCAAGUGCAUCAGACUAUCUAGAAACCUGGGAUGACUCGGAUAGCAUAACGGCUGUAAAUGCCCAAAAUGAUUUGAGACAUCCUGCAAAAAUGGUGGUAUAACCACUCAACAUCACAAUAUCAAGGUUCUGGGGCCAGCUAUGAACAUAUGGAACUAGUAGGAACUGAACUGAGGCUUGAACUCAACAAUCCUUGGCAACUACGGUUUAGUAACACGUUAUGCUGAGAGAUAGAGCAGAAGCCUAGUUCUUAACCCCAUAGAAAAGAUAAGAUGACUCAGAUCAGAAGGUCAUGAGGAUAAGGAGUAAAAGAGCCUUACGUUCCCUUCCACAAUCAAUUCCCUUACAUAACUAAAGCAUUUCUAGACUCGACUUCGAUCGGUUUGUCUUGGUAAUCCUACAGGCAGUCAGACUCUGAUACCAAACCUGUCAGGACCCCGAUUCUAAGUCACACCGAUCUAGCAUGUAACACCUCAUAUCACUUUGCGGCCUCAUGCACGGUAUUCCCACGGGUGUCGCCUUACCAUGGCCCAGGACCGUUUGCGCCUUUUGGCUCACGUAUAUGAUAGUGUCGCUAGCAUCCAUAUGACAGAGAAUCCGGGCCAACAUGACUAGUCAUGAACCCAAAGUGGCACUAACUUAUGGGGACAUGCAUACAUGAAUCAACAUCGAGCAUGUCGGUCAGCAGCGUGCGAAUCCGGGCUGUAGCACUGGGAUAACAUGACUCCGGUGAACCGAGCUGUAGCAGGCUAGGCAGGACUUCGGAUGUCACCGCGUGACAUUUCCCCGAAGGGACAGACACAGGAUGAAGUGAAACACAUGCUGGCCAGUCAAGUGUUCCGGAGCAGUAGUGCUGGGCUAGCAGGAUGAUACGUCUCCAACGUAUCUAUAAUUUUUGAUUGCUCCAUGCUAUAUGAUCUACUGUUUUGGACUAUAUUGGGCUUUAUUUUCCACUUUUAUAUUUUUUUGGGACUAACCUAUCAACCGGAGGCCCAGCCCAGAAUUGCUGUUUUUUGCAUAUUUUCAGUGUUUGAGAUAAAAAAAUAUCAAAUGGAAUAAAAUCUUCGGAAACAUGAUUUUCUCACCGAACGUGAUCCAGGAGACUUGGACCCUACUACUAGAGAUCAAAGAGGUGGUCACGAGGGUGGGGGGGCGCCCCCCCCCCUUAGGGCACGCCCCCUGCCUUGUGGGCCCCUCGGUGCUCCACCGACGUACUCCUUCCUCCUAUAUAUACACACGUACCCCCAAACGAUCAGAAUAGGAGCCAAAAACCUAAUUCCACCGCCGCAACUUUCUUUAUCCACGAGAUCCCAUCUUGGGGCCUGUUCCGGAGCUCCGCCGGAAGAGGGCCGUCAUCACGGAGGGCUUCUACAUCAUCAUAGCCCCUCCGAUGAAGUGUGAGUAGUUUACCUUAGACCUUCGGGUCCAUAGUUAGUAGCUAGAUGGCUUCUUCUCUCUCUUUGAAUCUCAAUACAAAGUUCUCCCCCUCUCAUGUGGAGAUCUAUUCGAUGUAAUCUUCUUUUUGUGGUGUGUUUGUUGAGACCGAUGAAUUGUGGGUUUAUGAUCAAGUCUAUCUAUGAAUAAUAUUUGAAUCUUCUCUGAAUUCUUUUAUGCAUGAUUGGUUAUCUUUGCAAGUCUCUUCGAAUUAUCCGUUUGGUUUGGCCAACUAGAUUGGUAGUUCUUGCCAUGGGAGAAGUGCGUAGCUUUGGGUUCGAUCUUGCGGUGUCCUUACCCAGUGACAGAAGGAGCAGCAAGGCACGUAUUGUAUCGUUGCCAUUGAGGAUAACAAGAUGGGGUUUAUUUCAUAUUGCCUGAAUUUAUCUCUCUACAUCAUGUCAUCUUGCUUAAGGCAUUACUCUGUUUUUAACUUAAUACUCUAGAUGCAUGCUGGAUAGCGGUCGAUGAGUGGAGUAAUAGUAGUAGAUGCAUAAUCCUUUCGAUCUACUUGUCACGGACGUGAUGCCUAUAUACAUGAUCAUGCCUAGAUAUUCUCAUAAUUAUGCACAAUUCUAUCAAUUGCUCAACAGUAAUUUGUUCACCCACCAUAGAAUACUUAUGCUCUUGAGAGAAGUCACUAGUGAAACCUAUGGCCCCCGGGUCUAUUCUCAUCAUAUCAAUCUCCAUCACUUUUAUAUUGUUUUGCUAUUUACUUUUUACUUUGCAUCUUUAUAUCAAAAAUACCAAAAAUAUUCUAUCUAUCAGAUCUCACUCUCGUAAGUGACCGUGAAGGGCUUGACAACCCCUAAUCGCGUUGGUUGCGAGUAGCUAUCGCUUUGUGCAGGUACGAGGGACUUGAGCGUGGGCUCCUACUGGAUUGAUACCUUGGUUCUCAAAAACCGAGGGAAAUACUUACGCUACUCUGCUGCAUCAUCCCUUCCUCUUCGGGGAAAACCAAUGCAAGCUCAAGACGUAGCAAGAAGGAUUUCUAGCACCGUUGCCGGGGAGUCUAUGCAAAAGUCAACAUACCAAGUACCCAUCACAAUCCCUAUCUCUCGCAUUACAUUAUUUGCCAUUUGCCUCUCGUUUUCCUCUCCCCCCAAUUCACCCUUGCCGUUUUAUUUGCCCUCUCUCUCUAUCCUCCCUCUCUAUUUGCCUCUUUUUGUCCGCUUGCUUUUUGUUUGCUCGUGUGUUAGAUUGCUUGUUUGUCACGAUUGCUCAACCAAGAUUUGGUGAUCUUCACCUUAAAAGGUUAGAGGAUAUCGAAAACAACGUUAGGAAGUUUAUGGUUUUGCAAUUUGAGCAUAAUAAUUUCUUUAGAAACGAACUUAAAGAACAAAAAAGUUUUAUGAGUUAUAUGAAUAAAGAGCUUGAUGAUAUGUCUAAAGAAUUUGAGGGUAUAAGAUCCCAGACUGCUCGUCUAGAGAAGAUGACUGCUGAAAUUUCGGAUAUGCAAGCCAUCUUAGUCAAUAAGAUGGCCGCUAAACCGAAUACCUAUGAAAAUCAAGAUGAAGAUCUAAAAGUUAUUGAUGUGUCUCCUAUUACAUCUUUAUUUUGCAAUAUGAAUCUUGAUGAAACUGAAUAUGAUCUUCCUUUACCUAGAAGGUGUUCUAAAAAUUCGGAGUGUUUAGAUCUUAAUGAUGAAAUUGAUGAAAGUGGGAUGGAAAGAAAUAAAAAUCUAAAUGUUGCUAAACCCACUAUAUUGGAUUUCAAGGAAUUUAAUUAUGAAAAUUGCUCUUUGAUUGAUUGUAUUUCCUUGUUGCAAUCCGUGCUAAAUUCUCCACAUGCUUAUAGUCGAAAUAAAGCCUUCACCGAACAUAUUGUUGAUGCCUUGAUGCAAUCUUAUGAAGAAAAACUUGAGUUGAAAGUUUCUAUCCCUAGAAAACUCUAUGAUGAGUGGGAACCAAAUAUUAAAAUUAAAAUUAAAGAUCAUGAGUUUUAUGCUUUGUGUGAUUUGGGUGCUAGUGUCUCUACUAUUCCCAAGACUUUGUGUGAUUUACUAGAUUUCCGUAAUUUUGAUGAUUGCUCUCUAAACUUGCAUCUUGCGGAUUCCACUAUUAAGAAACCUAUGGGAAGAAUUAAUGAUGUUAUUAUUGUUGCAAAUAGGAAUUAUGUGCCCGUAGAUUUCAUUGUUCUCGAUAUAGAUUGCAAUCCUUCUUGCCCUAUUAUUCUUGGUAGACCUUUCCUUAGAACGGUUAGUGCGAUUAUUGAUAUGAAGGAAGGGAAUAUUAGAUUUCAACUUCCAUUAAAAAAGGGCAUGGAACACUUUCCUAGAAAGAAAAUAAAAUUACCAUAUGAAACUUGAAGGAAAUAUGCCCUAGAGGCAAUAAUAAAGUUAUUAUUUAUUUCCUUAUAAUCAUAAUAAAUGUUUAUUAUUCAUGCUAGAAUUGUAUUUACCGGAAACAUAAUACAUGUGUGAAUACAUAGACAAACAAAGUGUCACUAGUAUGCCUCUACUUGACUAGCUCGUUAAUCAAAGAUGGUUAUGUUUCCUAACCAUGAACAAUAAGUUGUUAUUUGAUUAACGAGGUCACAUCAUUAGUAGAAUAAUCUGAUUGACAUGACCCAUUCCAUUAGCUUAGCACACGAUCGUUUAGUAUGUUGCUAUUGCUUUCUUCAUGACUUAUACAUGUUCCUAUAACUAUGAGAUUAUGCAAUUCCCGUUUACCGGAGGAACACUUUUGGUACUACCAAACGUCACAACAUAACUGGGUGAUUAUAAAGGAGUACUACAGGUGUCUCCAAUGGUCGAUGUUGGGUUGGCGUAUUUCGAGAUUAGGAUUUGUCACUCCGAUUGUCGGAGAGGUAUCUCUGGGCCCUCUCGGUAAUACACAUCAUAUAAGCCUUGCAAGCAUUACAACUAAUAUGUUAGUUGUGAGAUGAUGUAUUACGAAACGAGUAAAGAGACUUGCCGGUAACGAGAUUGAACUAGGUAUUGGAUACCGACGAUCGAAUCUCGGGCAAGUAACAUACCGAUGACAAAGGGAACAACGUAUGUUGUUAUGCGGUCUGACCGAUAAAGAUCUUCGUAGAAUAUGUAGGAGCCAAUAUGGGCAUCCAGGUCCCGCUAUUGGUUAUUGACCGAAGACGUGUCUCGGUCAUGUCUACAUUGUUCUCGAACCCGUAGGGUCCGCACGCUUAAGGUUACGAUGGCAGUUAUAUUAUGAGUUUAUGCAUUUUGAUGUACCGAAGGUUGUUCGGAGUCCCGGAUGUGAUCACGGACAUGACGAGGAGUCUCGAAAUGGUCGAGACGUAAAGAUUGAUAUAUUGGAAGCCUAUAUUUGGAUAUCGGAAGUGUUCCGGGUGAAAUCGGGAUUUUACCGGAAUACCGAGAGGGUUACCGGAACCCCCCCGGGAGCUAUUUGGGCCAUAGUGGGCCUUAGUGGAAAAGAGAAGGGGCUGCCCUAGAUGGGCAGCGCGCCCCCCCUUCCCCUAGUCCUAUUAGGACUAGGAGAGGUGGCCGGCCCCCUCCUCCUCUUUUCCCCUCCGAGGAAUCCUAGUUGGACUAGGAUUGGAGGGGGAAUCCUACUCCCAGAGGGAGUAGGACUCUCCUGCGCCUCCCCCCCUUGGCCGGCCAGCCUCCCCUCCUCUCCUCCUUUAUAUACGGAGGCAGGGGCACCUGUAAACACACAAGUUGACACAAGUUGAUCCACGUGAUCUAUUCCUUAGCCGUGUGCGGUGCCCCCUGCCACCAUAUUCCUCGAUAAUACUGUAGCGGAGUUUAGGCGAAGCCCUGCUGCUGUAGUUCAUCAAGAUCGUCACCACGCCGUCGUGCUGAUGAAACUCUUCCCCGACACUUUGCUGGAUCGGAGUCCGGGGAUCGUCAUGAGCUGAAUGUGUGCACGAACUCGGAGGUGCCGUAGUUUUGGUGCUUGAUCGGUUGGAUCGAGAAGACGUACGACUACUUCCUCUACGUUGUGUCAUCGCUUCCGCAGUCGGUCUGCGUUGGGUACGUAGACAAUACUCUCCCCUCAUUGCUAUGCAUCACAUGAUCUUGCGUGUGCGUAGGAAAAAUUUUGAAAUUACUACGAAACCCAACAAAACUAUCAUGAGAGCCACUUAUGGAUUGCCUACCAAAGAUGGCAAUACCUAGAUCUAUUCUUGCUUGUUAUGCCUAGCUAGGAGCAUUAAACGAUAGCGCUUGUUGGGAGGCAACCCAAUUUUAUUUUUGUUCCUUGCUUUUUGAUCCUGUCUAGUAAUAAAUAAAUUAUUUAGCUUCUGUUUUGGUUGUGUUUUUUGUGUUUAAUUAGCAUUUGUGCCAAGUAGAACCGUUGGGAAGACUUGGGGAAAGUCUUGUUGAACUUGCUGUAAAAAACAGAAACUUUAGCGCUCACGAGAACUGCUGUCAUUUUUAUUUGAAGAGUGCUAUUUAGUUAAUUAUUUUUGAAGAUGAUUAAUAGAUAAAUUCCUCACGUCCAGCAAUUUAUUUUAGAAUUUUUGGGGUUCCAGAUCUUGCGCUAGCUACAGACUACUACAGACUGUUCUGUUUUUGACAGAUUCUGUUUUUCAUGUGUUGUUUGCUUAUUUUGAUGAAUCUAUCGCUAGUAAAAUAGUUUAUAAUCCAUAGCGAAGUUGGAAUACAGUAGUUUUAACACCAAUAUAAAUAAAGAAUGAGUUCAUUACAGUACCUUGAAGUGGUCUUUUGUUUUCUUUCGCUAACGGAGCUCAUGAGUUUUCUAUCUUGAGUUUUGUGUUGUGAAGUUUUCAAGUUUUGGGUGAAUUCUUUUGAUGGAUCAUGGAACAAGGAGUGGAAAGAUCCUAAGCUUGGGGAUGCCCAUGGCACCCCCAAGAUAAUCCAAGGACACCAAAAAGAAGCUUGGGGAUGCCCCGGAAGGCAUCCUCUCUUUUUCGUCCACUUCCAUCGGUAAUUUACUUGGAGCUAUAUUUUUAUUCACCAACAUGAUAUGUGUUUUGCUCGGAGCGUAUUGUAUUAUUUGUGUCUUUGUUUGUUAGUAUGCCACAAUCAUCCUUGCUGUACACACCUUUUGAGAGAGCCAUACAUGAAUUAAAAUUUGAUAGAAUACUCUAUGUGCUUCACUUAUAUCUUUUGAGCUAGAUAAUUUUGCUCUAUGUGCUUCACUUAUAUCCUUUGAGCUAGAUAAUUUUACUCUAUGUGCUUCACUUAUAUCCUUUGAGCUAGAUAGUUUUGCUCUAUGUGCUUCACUUAUAUCUUUUGAGCUAGAUAAUUUUGCUCUAUGUGCUUCACUUAGAUCUUUUAGAGCACGGUGGUGGAUUCGUUUUAAAGAAACUAUUGAUCUCUCAUGCUUCACUUAAAUUAAUUUGAGAGUCUCUUAAUAGCAUGGUAAUUUGCCUAAUAAUAAUAUGCUUGGUAUUCAAGAUUUGUGAAACUUUCUUUUGAGUGUGUUGAAUACUAAGAAAAGAUUGAAGCAUGAUAAUUGUUUUGAGAUAUGGAGGUGAUAAUAUUAAAGUCAUGCUAGUUGAGUAGUUGUGAAUUUAAAGAAUACUUGUGUUGAAGUUUGUGAUUCCCGUAGCAUGCACGUAUGGUGAACCGUUAUGUGAUGAAGUCGGAGCACGAUUUAUUUAUUGAUUGUCUUCCUUAUAAGUGGCGGUCGGGGACGAGCGAUGAUCUUUUCCUACCAAUCUAUCCUCCUAGGAGCAUGCGAGUAAUACUUUGCUUUGAUAACUUCUAAUUUUUGCAAUAAGUAUAUGAGUUCUUUAUGACUAAUGUUGAGUCCAUGGAUUAUACGCACUCUCACCCUUCCACCCUUGCUAGCCUCUCUAAUACCGCGCACCUUUCGCCGGUAUCAUACACCUACCAUAUACCUUCCUCAAAACAGCCACCAUACCUACCUAUUAUGGCAUUUCCAUAGCCAUUCCGAGAUAUAUUGCCAUGCAACUUUCCACCAUCUAGUUCAUCAUGACACAUCCAUCAUUGUCAUAUUGCUUAGGAUGAUCAUGUAGUUGACAUAGUAUUUGUGGCAAAGCCACUGUUCAUAAUUCUUUCGUACUUGUCACUCUUGAUUCAUUGCAUACCCCGGUACGCCGCCGAAGGCAUUCAUAUAGAGUCAUACUUUGUUUUAGUAUCGAGUUGUAAUCAUUGAGUUGUAAAAAAAUAGAAGUGUGAUGAUCAUCAUUCAAUAGAGCAUUGUCCCAAAAAAAAGAGAAAGGCCAAAAAAAGAAGGCCCAAAAAAAUAUAUAAAUAAAUAAAAAAGGGGCAAUGUUACUAUCCUUUUUUUCCAAACUUGUGCUUCAAAGUAGUACCAUGAUAUAGCAAGUCUCAUAUAUUAUGCUUCAAAGUAGCACCAUGUUCUUCAUAUAGAGAGUCUCAUAUAUUGUCACUUUCAUAUACUAGUGGGAAUUUUACGUUAUAGAACUUGGCUUGUAUAUUCCAAUGAUGGGCUUCCUCAAAUUGCCCUAGGUCUUCGUGAGCAAGAAAGUUGGAUGCACGCCCACUAGUUUCUUUUGUUGGGCUUUCAUACAUUUAUAGCUCUAGUGCAUCCGUUGCAUGGCAAUCCCUACUCACUCACAUUGAUAUCUAUUGAUGGGCAUCUCCAUAGCCCGUUGAUACGCCUAGUUGAUGUGAGACUAUCUUCUCCUUUUUGUCUUCUCCACAACCACCAUUCUAUUCCACCUAUAGUUCUAUAUCCAUGGCUCACACUCAUGUAUUGCGUGAAGAUUGAAAAAGUUUUGAAAAAGUUAGACUAUGAAACAAUUGCUUGGCUUGUCAUCGGGGUUGUGCAUGAUUUAAAUACUUUGUGUGGGUAAGAUGGAGCAUAGCCAGACUAUAUGAUUUUGUAGGGAUAACCUUCUUUGGCCAUGUUAUUUUGAGAAGGUCAUGAGGAUAAGGAGUAAAAGAGCCUUACGUUCCCUUCCACAAUCAAUUCCCUUACAUAACUAAAGCAUUUCUAGACUCGACUUCGAUCGGUUUGUCUUGGUAAUCCUACAGGCAGUCAGACUCUGAUACCAAAGCUGUCAGGACCCCGAUUCUAAGUCACACCGAUCUAGCCUGUAACACCUCAUAUCACUUUGCGGCCUCACGCACGGUAUUCCCACGGGUGUUGCCUUACCAUGGCCCGGGACCAUUUGCGCCUUUUGGCUCACGUAUAUGAUAGUGUCGCUAGCAUCCAUAUGACAGAGAAUCCGGGCCAACAUGACUAGUCGUGAACCCAAAGUGGCACUAACUUACGGGGACAUGCAUACAUGAAUCAACAUCGAGCAUGUCGGUCAGCAGCGUGCGAAUCCGGGCUGUAGCACUGGGCUAACAGAACUUCGGUGAACCAGGCUAUAGCAGGCUAGGCAGGAUUCCGGAUGUCACCGCGUGACAUUUCCCCGAAGGGACAGACACAUGAACGAAGUGAAUCACAUGCCGGCCAGUCAAGCGUUCCGGAGCAGUAGUGCCGGGCUAGCAGGAUGAUACGUCUCCAACGUAUCUAUAAUUUUUGAUUUCUCCAUGCUAUAUUAUCCACUGUUUUGGACUAUAUUGGGCUUUAUUUUCCACUUUUAUAUUAUUUUUGGGACUAACCUAUUAACCGGAGGCCCAGCCCAGAAUUGUUGUUUUUUUGCCUAUUUUCAGUGUUUCGGAUAAACGGAAUAUCAAACGGAGUCCAAACGGAAUAAAAUCUUCGUAAACGUGAUUUUCUCACCGAACGUGAUCCAGGAGACUUGGACCCUACUACAAGGGAUCAAAGAGGUGGUCACGAGGGUGGGGGUGCCCCUCCUAGGGCGCGCCCCUUGCCUCGUGGGCCCCUCGGUGCUCCACCGACGUACUCCUUCCUCCUAUAUAUACACACGUACCCCCAAACAAUCAGAACAUGAGCCAAAAACCUAAUUCCACCGCCGCAACUUCCUUUAUCCACGAGAUCCCAUCUUGGGGCCUGUUCCGGAGCUCCGCCGGAAGAGGGCCGUCAUCACGGAGGGCUUCUACAUCAUCAUAGCCCCUCCGAUGAAGUGUGAGUAGUUUACCUCAGACCUUCGGGUCCAUAGUUAGUAGCUAGAUGGCUUCUUCUCUCUCUUUGAAUCUCAAUACAAAGUUCUCCCCCUCUCUUGUGGAGAUCUAUUCGAUGUAAUCUUCUUUUUGCGGUGUGUUUGUUGAGAUCGAUGAAUUGUGGGUUUAUGAUCAAGUCUAUCUAUGAAUAAUAUUUGAAUCUUAUCUGAAUUCUUUUAUGCAUGAUUGGUUAUCUUUGCAAGUCUCUUCGAAUUAUCCGUUUGGUUUGGCCAACUAGAUUGGUAGUUCUUGCCAUGGGAGAAGUGCUUAGCUUUGGGUUCGAUCUUGCGGUGUCCUUACCCAGUGACAGAAGGGGCAGCAAGGCACGUAUUGUAUCGUUGCCAUCGAGGAUAACAAGAUGGGGUUUAUUUCAUAUUGCAUGAAUUUAUCUCUCUACAUCAUGUCAUCUUGCUUAAGGCGUUACUCUGUUUUUAACUUAAUACUCUAGAUGCAUGUUGGAUAGCGGUCGAUGAGUGGAGUAAUAGUAGUAGAUGCAUAAUCGUUUCGAUCUACUUGUCACGGACGUGAUGCCUAUAUACAUGAUCAUGCCUAGAUAUUCUCACAAUUAUGCACAAUUCUAUCAAUUGCUCAACAGUAAUUUGUUCACCCACCGUAGAAUACUUAUGCUCUUGAGAGAAGUCACUAGUGAAACCUAUGGCCCCCAGGUCUAUUCUCAUCAUAUCAAUCUCCAUCACUUUUAUAUUGUUUUGUUAUUUACUUUGCCUUUACUUUUUACUUUGCAUCUUUAUAUCAAAUAUACCAAAAAUAUUCUAUCUAUCAGAUCUCACUCGCGUAAGUGACCGUGAAGGGCUUGACAACCCCUAAUCGCGUUGGUUGCGAGUAGCUAUUGCUUUGUGCAGGUACGAGGGACUUGAGCGUGGGCUCCUACUGGAUUGAUACCUUGGUUCUCAAAAACUGAGGGAAAUACUUACGCUACUCUGCUGCAUCAUCCCUUCCUCUUCGGGGAAAACCAAUGCAAGCUCAAGACAUAGCACAGGACUCCGGUGAACCGGGCUGUAGCGGACUACUAUGGCUUAUGGAAGCACAAGACUACAUUUCUCCAUAAGAGCGGCUACCAAGGAUAAACAACUAGGUUGUCGGAUCCCACACAUACCAAGCAUUUCAAUCAUACACACAAUAUGCUCGAUAUGUGUGAAUACAACAUGGCAUCACAACAUAACUCUACGACUCAAGUAUUUAUUCAUUAGGCUUCGAAGAGCCAGAUAUUACAGACAUGGGUCUCAUGACCCAACAUUCAGAGCAUACCAGACAAAGCACAUGUGGAAGCUUAACAUGUCUGAGUACAGACUUCUACAAAUGAAAAAGGCUAAGAAGCCUGACUAUCUACAAGACCCUGCCAAGGGCACAAGAUCGUAGCUGAGGUAACAAGCUAAACGUUGAAGUCCAUGUGGAACUACUAGCGAGACUGACGUCUCUCUGCAAAAACAUAAAAUAGGCAAAUGUGAGUACAAAUGUACCUAGCAAGACGUACAUCAGAACUGACUACAUAUGCAUCAGUAUCAACAAAGGGGGGUAGUGGGGUUUAACUGCAGCAAGCCAGCUUUGACUCAGUGGAUAACCUGAACUACGACCUCAAGCAACUCUUUUGAGGUGGCGCACAGAGUCACAUAUUCACCAUACCAAUACACCACUAUGGAUCCGCUCCCGUCUCCCUGCGAGAACGCCAUCCAUAGCACUCACACUUAUCUUGCGCAUUUUAGAGUAUCCACUUUCACUUGUCUAUGAACUAUGCAAGGGGUCCAAGUUUCCAUAUCCGAGGAAUCCGGCUAUUCGAAUAGAUAAUGAUAACCCUGCAGGGGUGUACUUCUUCACACACGCUCUCGCCACUUACCACCAUGUACAUAUCGUGUAUCUCGACAACCUUCAAGAGGAAGCCUGGCGAGGGAGUCGGCCACGACCUGACUAACCGACAAGUCUCUAGUCCAUGUUUAUCGCCUAUUCGGGUUCCAUCUGCAAGGAGAUCCGGCCGGGGUGUCGCUCAUGGCCCCAAACGAUGUGACAGUGUUCCCAAGCCCACCAUCCGGGUGCCACUUGGUACACCGUGCCACUGUGCCUAGUCUGUCCUAGGCCCACCUGUACCGGGUGCCACUUGGUAGACUACUAACACUACCUACAAACACCAGAAACUAGUUGCAACUCCUGGACAGAGAUCAGGUUGAUUAAUAAGUCGAGAGGGGCACUUAAGCAUUCCAAUGUGUGGUAGUAACUGUUCAUGGAUCACCAAACACAAAACUCAGUUCCUGAGGAUGGCUGCAAUGAGACAACCCAUCGUGUAUCUCGGCAACCUUCAAGCGGAAUCCUGGCGAGGGAGUCGGCCAUGACCUGACUAACCGACAAGUCUCUAGUCCAGGUUUAUCGCCUAUUCGGGUUCCAUCCGCAAGGAGAUUCGGCCGGGGUGUCGCUCACGGCCCCAAACGAUGUGAGCAGGGUUCCCAAGCCCACCAUCUGGGUGCCACUUGGUACACCGUGCCACUGUGCCUAGUCUGUCCCAAGCCCACCUGUACCGGGUGCCACUUGGUAGACUACUUACACUACCUACAAACACCAGAAACUAGUUGCAACUCCUGGACAGAGAUCAGGUUGAUUAAUAAGUCGAGAGGGGCACUUAAGCAUUCCAAUGUGUGGUAGUAACAGUUCAUGGAUCACCAAACACAGAACUCAGUUCCUGAGGACGGCUGCAAUGAGACAACCCACCAUGUACUCCUACAUGGCCUCUCACCGCUACCUUUACCAAAUCGUGUUCACACACUUAGCUCACACACAGUAGGACAUGUUCAUCACCAUUCCAAUUCAUCCCUGAUGAAUCAGACCUGACUCAACUCUAAGCAGUAGCAGGCAUGACAAACAAACAUGAAUGAUUAGGCACACCAGGGCUCAAACAAUUCCUACUCAUGCUAGUGGGUUUCAUCUAUUUACUGUGGCAAUGACAGGUCAUGCAGGGAAAAAGGGUUCAGCUACCGCAGCAUGUAACCUUUGAAACGUUGUUGUCCUAAUGCAAUAAAAGAGAGCAGGAGCGAGAGAGUGGGAUUGUAUUGGAAUGAACAAGGGGUUUUUGCGUGCCUGGCACUUCUGAAGAUAGUAUAGCUCUUCAUCGGUGUCAUCGAAUUCAUCGCUGGAUCAACGUCCACUAAGGGGGGACAAACACCGGCAACUAAGAAAGAACACAAUCAACACAUGACGAUAUGCAACAAUAUGAUGCAUGCUAUGACAUGGCAAUAUGAAUGUGUUUUUGGCUAAUGCAAGCUAGAACAUAUUGAAAUGAGUCCAUUUGAACCAAAGAUUCAAAUGCAAACCCAUUUUAUGAAGUCAUAUUAGUGCAUUAACUUGUUUCACCUAAAGAGCAAGGUUAAAGUGUUCUAACAUGCAUGAAACUAGUAUAGAUGAAAAGAUUGGAUUUUUCUGAUCAUUUUUCAUAUAUAAAUUAUUUCAUUCUGAGCUAUGGUUGAAUCUCUAUGAUUUUUAGAAGUUUGGGGUAUUUUCUGAAAUUUAUAAAUCAUUUCUGAUUUAUUUUAAUUCCAGAAAACUUUACUGUGUCAUCAUUAAGUCAUGCUGGCGUCAGCUGGUCAACAGGAGGUCCAGGUCAAACCUGACAGGUGUGGCCCACCUGUCAUUGACUCAGUGCUAACCAGGGUUUAGUUAAAUCCUAACUAAAGUAAUUAGAAGGGCUGGGGCCCACAGUCAGCGAGUUUGUGGGUUAGCUAAAAUUUAAUUAGCAUCUAAACUAAAUUAGCAGGGCCUCGGGCCCACAUGUUAAUGACACAGGGGGGUCAAACCCUGGUCAACUCGGGUCAAACUCGCCGGAGUUGACCCGGCGCUCGUCGCCAGCAAGGCCAGAGACGGCGGAGGGGCUCGGGAUUCCUCCUCCGGCGACCAAAUGGCCGGCGGAGGGCACCUACGCGGAGCUGGGACUCGCCUGCAUCCAUCUGUGCAAACGGCAGGGGCUGAGAUGGCCCGAGCUCGCCGGAGGCAAGCUCGCGGCGGUGGCCGGAGUUCGGGUGUGGACGGGGUCGACGCUAUGGGGCACUAGGGGGAUAAACUGGCAGGUGCUACGCGCUCCUGGGGGUUCACCGAGCAUGGUGACGUGCCUAGGCGCGGGCUGCGGUGGCCCUGGCCACGGCGGUCAAGAACCAUGGCGGCGGUGAGCUUUCGGCUCCGGUGGACAGCGGGGCUAGAGGAGGAGAACGACGGCGGGGAGAGAGGGGUUCGAUAGAGGAGCUCACGGCAGGGUCGUCGGUGAUCUCAGCGUGCUCGGGGAUGGCCUGGUGGCGACGAAUCGGUCGACGACGGCCGUCGGUGCAGAGGGCGAAGAUGGCAUCGACGAUGGCGCUCCAGGGUGUCCGGCGUCAUGUGGCUCGGUGGAGAGGACCGGGGCGUCACGGCGGAGCUCGGGGGCACGUCAGAGAGGCUCGGAGAUGGCUGUGGCCGUGGGGGAGCUCGUCGGCGGCGACGGCUGCGUUCGGUCGCGCUCGUGGAAGGAACUAGAGGGAAAAGGAGAGAGCAGAGAGUGAGGGAGAGGAGCGAGCGGAUUUCAGGGGGUGCGUGGCGUCGUAUGGAGUCGUCGAGGGCGUCGGCAGAAGUAGGAGGUGGCCGGCGUGCGACGGGCACACGCCCUCUGCCUACUGGCAGAGGUGGAAGAAGACCUCGGCGCCCCUGGUGGGCUGGGCCGAUUCUCUCCUGGGCCAGGUUAGCAGGUAAGAUUCUGCUCUAUUUUAUUUUUCUGUUCUGUUUUCUUUUCUAUUUUUGCUAUUAUGUUUUGAUUUCGUUCAAAGACCAAACCAUUUUCAAAAUGCAUGAAAAUAAUUGUGUGAACUAAAUGGACUUCUCCAAAGCUACACAACAAUUUUCAGAAUUAUUGAACAUAUAUUUAUUAUAUAAUAAAUAUAAAUCCAAUUCAAAUAUUUAUUGAAUUAAUUUCAAAUGCCCAAAAUAAAUAUUUUUGAACUCUAAAAAUAUUGGUUUGAAUUUUACCUCUUGCCAAUAUUUUUAUGAAUAACAGGAAUAUUUCCUUGGACUCAUUUGAAAAGACUUUUAACGUUGAUUAUUUCUGAAGUUAUUUUUGAGGGUUUCAACUAACCUCAAUUCAACUUUCAAAAUUUAGACAUGAUGCAUGGAUGCUCUCUUAUGCAACUAUUGCAAACAAUUCUAGGGCUGUGACACUCUCCCAUAUUGAUUGGUGGUCCAACUUGACUUUGAUGGCAAAAGGAAGAGUAGAACCAUCGAAUUCAAAAAAUGUUCAUGAUUUUAGAGAAUGUUUGAAAAUCUGUAAAAAUGUUCAUGAAUUUGAAAAAUGUUCACGGUUUCAGAUAUGUUCACGAGUUAAAAAAUCAUGGUUUUCAAAAAUUGUUCAUGAUUUCACGAAAAUGAGAGUGAUAGUGUAUCUUGGUGAUGCAGAAAAAUGUGGUCAUGGCCAUUGAACAUUAUGAUUUUUAUUCUUCCGUCGCAAUGCAUGGGCCGUUUUGCUAUAACUACGAAAGAAGGACAAAUUUGGAGUGUCGGAUUUUCAUUACAUCGAUGACGAAGGAAUGGUCUGGAGUCUUAACAAAUUAUAGAAACAAAGCGUCUCCCACUAGGUGUCAUUAGCGAAUUGAGGUAUUUAUGUAGCUCAUACGCACUAUACCUGUAAGUUAAGUUUGCGUUGUGUGAUGUGUGUAUGUAGUAGUCAAGUAGGAAAUGGUGUGGAAGCAGGUAUUUAGUCGCAAAAUGACGUACUUUUGGCGCCAUCAAGUUAACUCUCUAUUUAGUCGCAAAUGCAGCACUAUACCUGUUAUAUGGUGUAUUUUUUUUUGAUAAUCUGUUAUGGUGUAUUCUGUAUGUGUACUCUGGUAAUGUUAAUGAAGCUCUGUUUUUUAGUUCAUCUUGUCUAUAAGGCUGCGCUUGGAUUGCCGUUUUCCAGCCAUCUACACGUGUAAAGUAUACCCCCGUAAAAAUAAAACGGACGAUCUACUUGGAUCGUCGUUUUUGCGUCGUAACUUUUACACCCGGUUUCACUUUACACUUGGAUAUCGCUGGUAUUCCGUCGGUUUGCAAAACACUGCUAUGUCCGUCGUUUUUCCUAGUUGCUGGUAUUCCGCCGUUCUUGCUCGGUUGUGAUUGACUAGGUAGCCACAGCUGAGGUAAGCGCCGCAACGGCUCAACCGGAGCACGCCGAGGCCACCGCCACCGCUCGCCGGAGCGCCGCCGUCGUUCCGGAGACACCAUCGUCACCAGCAGUCGCCUCCCGCAGUCCUGCCGCAUCAGCUCCACCACCACGGCCCGCCAUUGACGCCGAGCGUCCGCAGCCACCACCAUGGGUGCUUGCGCGCCGCCGAGCUUCGAGUCGACGGCGCCGCAGCGUCCGCGCCACUGCCGGAGCGCGUGCGCUCGCCGCCACUGCAACCAAACGCCAAUGCAGCACCCAACGUCCGCCUCCACCACCACCGGUCCAUGACGUCCCCGCUGCCGCCGGAUUGCCUUCGCCACUGCAGCAGGAUCCUGCGUCCGCCGUGGCCGCGCUGUGACGACGCCUGGCGCUCGUUCUUCUGGUAGCCAACGGCAUAGCGCACGGGAGAGACUCUCCGAAACUAGCAAAAAUCCGACGAACCAAGCGCAGCAUAUACAUGUGGGAAUAUCCGGUUGUAUUUUACAAAUCUCCUGUAAUAUACAGGGGUAUUCAUAUACGGAUGUAAAACUUCUACGGGGAUUCCAAGCGGGGCCUAAG